GACCAGAAAGCAGGAUCCAUGAAGAUUGAAAAUUAAGUCCACUUGACAAUGUACAUGAUCAGUACUGAGCACUAGUAUUCCCUGUCUGUCUCAAGAUACUACAGCAUCAAGUUCUAGACAUCCUUUUCCCUUACACUCUCAGUAUCCACACCAGAAAUUAUGGACUACUACCAAAGCAUCACCAGCAUCAUACCUCUCUCUCUCUCUCUCUCUCUCUCUCUCUCUCUCUCUCUCUCUCUCUCUCUCUCUCUCUCUCUCUCUGCUAUGUUCUGAAAAAUCCCCAUAAUCAAUUACUUACUUGAAUAAUAAUACAGGCAGUGAAGCUACAGCAAGGGCCAUAUUACACUAGACAUCUGACCGGUGGCGUCGGAAUGGAUCGAACGGCUGCAUCUUCUAAUACAGCAUACUCCGGUUCGCGGCCAGCUGAUCAUGCAGAGGGCCACACUGCAGGCCUUGAUCUUGCAAACCCAUGCCGUAGCUCGGCGGCGAAUUGUAUGGCGCAUUCGCUCCGCCGUGCUGCUUGGUGUCGGCCGGCAGCGAGUACUGCCCCGUUGCUGGGCUCGGUGCCGGCGCGCUGGACUGGGUGAUCAUCGAUGACUGGGACGGCGAGGGGGGCUGGUCGUCCAGGUGCACCGUGGUGAUGUCGUGGAUGCUCGACCUCCUCUUGUCCUUGCCGCCACCGGAGCUGAGCCUGAUGAAGUACUUCUGCGCGUGGCUGGCCACCUGCGUCGGCGUCCUCGUCUGCACGAAGUUGCGCGAAAUGUUCCUCCAGUCCCCUUUGCCGUACUUCUUCAGGCCUAGGAGGAACAACCUGGCCAAAAAGAACAGAGCAUAUGAUCAGAUUCAGCAACUAGCAGUAUUGAUCAUGCACAUCAGGCUACAUGGCAUCAACUAGUAAUAUGGAUCAUGAAUUCUUGCUCUACAUCAGGCUACAUGAGCAUCAAACAUCAUGCUACAUAUGACUGUCUCAUCAAUUGCUAGUGAACAAAGACAAGUGAUUCACUUUCAGAUAGCAGUUCUUCCAUGGUUGAAUUGUUCUUCCAAUUUGGCAUGUUUUAAAUGCUGGCAGAGCCAUCUGAUGAUGUAAAGCCUGUUGAUUGAUGGCGAAUUCAAGAAAGGAAAUUUAUAUCACUAACUAAUUAGAUGGAGCAGAGCAAUCGCUCUCACAGGUCACUGAGAUCGGAGAAGAAGACUAUGAUAUGGAGUUGCAGUUAAGAAUCGUGGUAGCAGUAGUAGUGCUCACUUGUGCUCGUCCUCGGUCCACGGCACCCCCUUCUUCCUCUCCUGCUCCGGCGUGCGGCCGCCGUGCCGCCGCCCGCCGCCGCAGCCGCCGAAGCGGUAGCCGUGCCGGAAGUCCCCGGCCCCGGCGUGGCCGCCGCUGCCGUCCCACUGCAGGGUGAAGGCGCCGGGGCCGUAGCCGGGGCCGGGGCCGGGGAAGGUGCCGGACUCGAUCUGGCGGACGUCGAGCUCGAGGCUCUUGAAGUGGUCGACGACCUCGCGGACCGUCUUGCCGGUGGCGUGCGCCACCUUGUCCCAGUCCGGGCUGCGCAGGUCCAGCCCGGCCAGCGCCCGCUCGAACUGCUUGUUCUCGUCCGCCGUCCAGGCGCGCGGCUGCCCCGUGAACCAGCCGCCCGCGCCCCGCGGCCCGCCGUAGUAGCCCAUCGCCGCCGGCGGCAGCACCUCCAUCCACGGCUCCCUCAUCAUCAUCGCUCAGCUCGGCUCAGCUCGCCUGCAAGAAAAAAUCACCCAGCUUCAGCUACAGAGGGAGAUGUUGACAAAUUAGCACAAAAAGUUGGAUUCAGACGACAGCGGAGUAGCUCAAGAUUCCGCUGAUGAUAACACGAUCGAUCUCCCACCCCCCUUGGUGCGAAUCGGAUGAGGCAGAUUUGGGAGGAAAAAGCUAGGAGCGGAAUCUUUCUGGCUGUAGGACAUGAUUGAGGAGCAAGCAGGGGAGGGCCGGGAUGGAUUCAAGAACAGUACUACUACCACGGCCCCAAUUAACACCAACCGGAACCCCCGAAUUACUCCACCCCGGAACCAAAUUCAGGCCUCCCCGAGCAAACCUCCUCCGAAUUCGCCGGAAAAGGGGCGGAAUUUCACCGGCGCGGGGACCAAAGAAACAGAUAAAAUCGAGGAGCAGAGCAGAGCAGCUCCGAGAAACCAAGAUGACUGACCUGCUCUCGAUCUCCGGCUGCUGCUGCUGCUCAAGGCCGGCUGGAGGACAAAAAGGCGAUCUCCCUGGGUUGCUGCUGGGAUUGCCGGCGCCAGAAAAGAGACGGAUCUCCUCGCUCGCACCCAGAGGCAGCGGCGGCCAGGGGGAGAGUUCUUGGUAGAGAAAUGGGGGAGGGGAGGGGAGGGGAGGGGGGAGUGUCAGCUGGUGAUUGGGUGGAGGUCGUGGCCGACUUUUCCUGGCGUAUAGGAAUUAGGAAAGGGAGGGGAAGCAAAUAGCAGCGGCGGCAUAUUUGUGCGUGCGUGCUCACACACACACACGGGUAGAGUAGAUGCACACUUGGAAUCGCUCUUGGCUUCCCACCUUUUCACCCCCACUACCUGCUACUUGCCCCCCCAAAAACUUUCACCUGAUUGGACAAAUCUCAUUAAAUCCACCAUUUUCUUUUCUUUUUUCAAAAGGAAGAUACACCAUUUUCUUUCGAGCAUCUACAGCCUAACUGUGCUAAUUUGACCCCUCAACCAUCCACGGACGUGUCCGAUGAGCAUUUUUAGCCCUUAUUUGUCCGUGCAUGCAGCCAUGGCCCCACUUUUAUCUUUAUAUUUUCGGUCAGUCACAUGGAUCUGAUUGGUGGAAUGAGGAGAUAGAGAGAAGAGAAGGUGGUCCGUGAUGGACCAAAUCAUAUAAUACGUGGCAACUGACUGGACACGUCUGAACGCUCCUCAUAUUGGUGGCUUCAUAUAUGGGCUGAGUAUGAGGGUUUACAUAUAGCCCGGACAUAUGAGGACCAAGUGAAGGGUCUGAUUGGGUCAGCAUUUUCCUUCCCUCACCUGUCCGGUCAAUGCCUGGGGCGUCCGUCCGGUCAAUUUCAGAGGAUCGGCUGUAGACGUGCUUGCAUAUUUGCUAAUCCAUCCAUCUUGUAGUGCAUACAAGUUUUUUUUAUCAAAGUUAAACUUUGUAAGCUUUAAUCAAGUUUAUAUAGAAAAUUAAGAACAUCUAGGAUAUCAAACAAAUACCACUCUACUCACCAUGGAUACAUUUUUCUUGAUAACUUGGUCAAAAUUUGUGAAGCUUGACUUUUGAGAAAACUAAUGCACGCUAUUUUAUGAGAAGAAGCGGGUAUUGUCUAGUUGGAUCGUGCAGUCACCCCAUGCCAAGCGGGCCCCAUUGAUCAAAAUUCAUGUCAACGGCCGUUUUAGAGAGGCAUCGGGGAGGUCUUUUGUGAAAACAUAUGUAAAGUGGUGGUUUUAUGUCGAUUUGGCUGCAAUUGUUGUGUUUUUUUAGUUAAUCUUGCAUACAUUGGCCUUUGUACAUAUUUUGGCACCCAUAUUUGGGCUAUUUGUCCUCCUCUCUCUGACUGUUUGACUGGGUGGACACACAUAUUAGAGAGGCAUGAGAAUCAUGUUUGAGUGGCAAAUCCGUAUAGAGGAAAAUCUAUUCGGUCAUGACAAAAGCAAGGGAAAAUGUAAACAAAACGCUUAAACUAAACAAAUGCCUUGCGCAUAUGAGACGAUGCCGAGGGCAAACAUCGAAUAUGCCGAUUUAGGCUCAAGAAGUCAAAAGGAGUUGUAUGCGUAUGUGGGCUAAGAAUGUCAGCGACCCGCCUAAGUAAUCUUCUUAAAACCGCUUGUCGAUAAGCUCAUUAGUUAGCUACAUGCUUAGUUAACUAUAAACAAAUGAUGGCAAGUAACAAUCACUCAUUGACUCCUAAGGCACUCCGAUUUGGGUGCUUAAGUUGUGGAGUUUUUGACGAUGAUUAGUUGGGGAGGGCUUGAGAGCUGCAAGUGGUGGGGUUGUGGCAUUGCUGUACUUUGUGGCCAUGAUUGGUCGCCGUUGACAUGUAGCCACCUCGCUUAGGCCAGUUAGCAAUGGCGAUUGGGGGAGGCGGGCACGUUUUGAUGUUGCUAUCAGGCGUUUGGUAAAGCGUGUGCAUGAUUGUCGACGAGGCGUUGGGCGGUCAUUGUUUUAUGGUAGAGUAUGGGAUGCAACUGCAAAUUAACACGUUGCUUUCUCCUUCUUCUUCUACCUGUAGCUAGCAGCAGCCGGUGUCACUCUUGUUUGCUUCUACCUGGUUUACUCGUCGACCUUGAUCGACCGCCUUAAUUAAUUAACGUCGGCAAAAAAUUAUAGUUGUUGCUGGUUCACACCAUCUGAUGAAUUGUUCUAAUCUUUAACAAUACAUGUUUAAUUAGCUCCAUCAUGGAGCAUCUCAAUUUUUGACUGCUUUUAAAAAGGCCUAGAAGUACACUUGCAAGCUACUACGUACCCCGGUUUACGUACAUGGCGUUGAACAUGUGUGGUUUUGCUACAAAAAGAUACUACCCUCUCCAAUCCAUAUUAGUUGUCAUCGAUUUAGUGGGAUUAGAAAUCUUGUUACGCUGGUUAUGUGCAGAUGGUAUUUUUAGAUCUUUUGUACAAAUACUUCCAAAUUGUCAUUUUAGUAUUUCUGUAUGGAUUAGUCUUGUUGUUUUCACGCAUGUUCUUCACAUGGAAAACAAAGCUUUUGGCCCUCUUACUGGUUUUCCUUUGGUAGAGUUCACAUCGGUCUCUGGCCACCAUAAACUUCACCUCAAAACUGAUUCUACUCUACUUGUCUUCAGAGCAUCUGUUGAAAUCAAGGCCUUGAAAGGGGCGCGCUUCUCCGCCGAAGUUUUGUUUGCGUCGCUGCCACACAAAGUGCUUUUGCAGUUGCAAGUGACUAGAUUCUGAAAAUUACGGCUUGCGCCGUUCUCUUUCAUGAGAGAGAAAGGAGAAGAAAGAGUGGUUGUGAUCGCCCCUCGUUUUUUUUUUCUCCUUUUUUUGCCGGGGAUUACCCGUCGUUGUUGGUCCAGAGGCCGGGAGUAAACUUCUCCCCAUAAAAGAGGAGAGGAGAAACAAGUGAAGAACAUCCAGUCGCGGUUCUAGGUCAACAGUUUAGGCAAAGCCAAUUUCAUCAUUUUGUUUACCAAGAGAGAGAGCAAAUAAUAAUGAAGUGCUAGUAGUAUUGAUUUCUUGCCAUUCUUGACUUGAAGUGGUCUCCUGACUCCACAUAGUUUUUUCCACUCUCCUGAGGGCUCUUUCAGAGUAGCUUACUCACAACUACUACUACAGCUCAAUUAGCAUCAGAAGAGAGCUGGCAUAUUCCUCUCCUAGCCUUGUCAUUUGUUUAAUCUCAUUAUUAUUCAUGGCAGAUGCUUGCUUGACUGCACAACAUGACCAGAUGAGAUCGCCACGAAAACAGGAGCAGGGGCCAUAGAAAAAACCCAGCGGAAGUAGGGCCGAAAUAGGGGAGGGGAGGCUCCUUCUGAAUCUGACCAUGAGCAAGCUAGCUAGCAUGGCUAGCUCAUCAUAGAGAUGUCAAUAUCUGCAGCCCAAGAAAGAAUAUUUUUUCGUGGAAAGGGUAACAAUUCAACAACGGCCUAGCUUUGAUUUCAAGCGACGCAACAACAAUCUUUUUAUGCCUUCCUUUGGCACCUUGACCAAUCAUACAGGCACAGAUGUGCGAAAAUGGGCGCGGCGUGGACAGGAGGGGAAUGCUGUGGAAAGAGGCAAAGAAAGCGACACAACCCGCCGAAGAACUGUUCCGCGGGUUCCCCUCUGUAUCGUUUCAAUUUUAUCGAAUUACACGAGAAUAUAAGAAUGAUGUUAGCAAAGAAAGGGACACAGGUUAUCGAAGAACUUGUUCCGCGGGUCCUUCUUCGCGGUUCCAAUUUUAUGGGACGGGGCGGUGGAAUAGAUGUAGUAUGAUAUGUUUUUUGUGUUGCUUGUGAUUAAUCAUGCACUGUGCUUUGAUGGGUUGUUUUCUCUCUACAGCAAGGGAACAAAGUACACAAAACGGUAUUCUCUUGGACCACAAAUGAUUGCUUUCAUAGGAUGCUCUUAUUUUCCAAUACAUUAUGCAUAGGAAACUCAUACCAUUCAGGCCACAGACCACAACUAAGUAGUACUCAGGUAUUAAUAAGAAAAAAAGAUACGCAGCCAACCAACCAAAAAUUCCGGCACGUUUUGGAGUUUGACCUUGUUUUAUUUUCUCUGCAUAUAUGACUCUCAACGAUGCAGACCAUCUCAAUUUCAUAGUAACACAUAUAAAAUUAUUCAAUAAACUAAUGGCUUGCGAUUCAUUUAUAUUAUUAAAAAAUUGGCUUCGGUUGUGGUUUGAACAUUGAACGCAGGUUUGAUGGAGGGUUAAGGGUCAGAUUAGGAGCAGGAGGCGUUUUCUGGGGAGGGGUGAGACAAGAGGCAUGGUCUCUUCCGUGCGCCAUGAGCCACUAUUAACCCCUGGCUUAGCUUCCCAAAUAGGCCACUGCCCCUUGCUUAAUUAGGGCAUUUCGGCCACCGAUCUCAUUUGUUUAUGCUUGUAUUAUGUGUUGGGUGGGCUUUUGGUCUACCUAGAACUCCAGGAAAGUGGCGAGGGUUCAAUUAGCCCUCCGUCUUGAUUUGGUUGCGCAUUGUGUAUUCCAACUUGGGUUUGUUUGGUUUGCCAUAUAGUAUGUUUGUCUUGUGGUGGUGCGGUGAAGUUGGUUAACAAUGUCAUGUGCGUCGUAUUUGUUGAAUGUUUGGUGGGUGGUUUUCGCGGUUCGAUAUAGAUCUCACCUAUCAUCGUGAAAAAGAUGUUGUCUAAUGGUAAAAUUACAAGGUUGUACGGAAAAAAGAAAGAGGAUUUCAUUUAAUGUUCUUAUUCCAUUUACUUGUUUAUGCAAAAUUUUGUUCUUUUCGGCACGAUGGCUCGCAGUGCAAAUGCACACAAUUAAGAAAGAUUGCAAUAUUUUUUGCUCAAGACCGGGUUAGUACAAAUAGCUAGAAGUGACGGUGCUUUUCCUUCUGUUUUCACUAUCAUGCAUGUAAUAAGACUGUAAUAAAUUAUGGUUAAGGCGUUGAUAUAAGCUAUGUUUUACCUCAGAAGGGAAAAUAUAUCUCAUCCAAUCUCGUCAUGGGGCAAAUUACACUAAUUCACCACAAUUGAGGCUAGGUUUUGCUCUUUAAAAAAGAUGCUUCUUAGACAUGACGUCACAUAUACUACUAACCUUAGAUUGAUGACGAGUUGAUAGUUGUUCUGACCAGAGGGGUCCAUCUGUCAAGGCUAAGUUGGGGAGGGGUGAAACACACAGUGUCUCUUCCAUGCACCACGAGCCACUGUUACACGCGCGCCCUUGGCUUAUAGCUUCCUCAAAUAGGCCACUACUCCUUGCUUAAUUAGGGCAUUUCGAUCUCAUUUGUUUAUGUAUGUGCGUGUGUUUGGUCUCCCUUGAACAACGAGAAAGCGGGGUUAGAUCAAUUGGCAUAGCUAAUGAGGCUUCAAUCUUGAUUUGAUACUCCUUAUGCAUUUCCAUCUUCAUUGAGUUUGUUCGCCAUCUUCGUUUACUUUAUCGUGGUGUGGUGAAGUCAGUUUGCUAGUUAACACCGCCAUAUGUGUUGUAUCAGUUCCACUAAAAAGAAGUGUUGUAUCAGUUCCACUAAAAAGAAGUGUUGUAUCAGUUGGAUGUUCACUUGAUGGUCUUCGCAGUUUAAUACAGAUCUCAUAUAUCAUUAGUUAGGGUUCAAUCUUUAUCUGAUUUCACAUUUUGUAGUUUCAACUUGAGUGAGUUUGUUCGCCAUAUUUGUGAAUGGGAUUGUUUUUACAUAUGCAUGUAAGACUAAUCAACUUAAGUUCUAGCAUUUGUAUAACCUGUGUUUUACCUAAGAAGGAAAAAAAUAUAUCACAUGUCGUGAGAAGUCUGGCAUCGAACAACCCUAAAAUCACAAUCCGAACCCGGAUCCAUGUGAUCUCGACUUGAACGUAUAGCAGAAAUGCAUCUUGUACUCCUUCACCCACGUGCCUCUCACGACUGAGGCGAUUAGGGAUUCAUGGCCUCCUGCCAGCGCCGCCGCAGGUCUGCAUCAUCUUCUAUGGCCGGUGGAGCCCGGACCUUGCCGGUGGGAGAGUUUCUGCUCUGUUUCUAGGGGUUUUCUGUCUAUUUUAUGGUUUGUGUCCUGCUCGGGAAGGCGAGACGGCGGUGGGGGCACCCUGAAGAUGGAAUAUGGUUCUCUCCUAGUCCCCGUUGUCCCAGCGAUGCGUUUAGCGGCAGAUGGAGGUGUAUAUUUGAUGAAUCUCGCAGGAUUCGGUCGAUGUUUAUUUGUCGUAGAUCUAUUCGGAUCCGGUCUUCGUUCAUCCGUGUUCAUGUGUCUAUAGGUUGAAUACUUCCGAUCUACAUGUCUCUUUAUUGGGGGCAGUCGUUCUGAUGCGUUGGUCGUGUGAGAUCUUAGCACAUGACUUCCUAAUUGUCUACUACAAUAAGGUUAGUUCGACCCCAGUAAAAGAGAGUUGAUGACGGCGGCACACGUUUUUAACUCGCUCCAAUGAUUGUAGGUGUCGCUAUGCGGUCUACGGACCUGAAUGUAAUUUUUGUUACUUCUGAUGUUUUUUACAGUGCCAUAAUUAUUAAUUAGUACUCCUAGAUCAUAAUUUUUUCUGAAAAAAAAAUACAGCAGAAAAUCACAACAUUUUUGUUUCGAAUUUUACAUGCACGUACAUGUAUUCGCACUCAACGCUCAUUUGGGUUGCACAAAAAUUUCUGUAUUUGACGGCCCUACAAACCAGUGUCAAUGUGCCAUUGUGUGGUGUAGUUAGCAGAGCAUGCACAGUCCGAGAGAUGGGACAGUAGUAGCUGUCAGAAUGAGUGGCCCCAGCACUGAAUCGUGGUGGGCUCCCUAGGCUCGUCAUGUGGUCAUGUGGAGGGGCCACUACGCAGGGACCCCACCAACAGCCAAACCAGGGUCACGAGUAAUGCAUGAGUGUUUCCAUGUGAAGAGAGAGGUGAGAGGUCCCGCAGCAAAAAAAAAAACUGGAGAGGGAGGAAGCAAAGCAAAGGCGGGUAGACUAGAAUGGGCUUGCUGCGAGUACGGUAUGAUGGGCUGGGCCUGCUGAGCUGGACGGGCCAGAGGCAACAGACUGGGGGAGUGAUAGUAUGGGUGAUGGGCCCGUUCUCAUGUGGCUAGGCCAGCCUCAUGACCAAAUUUGUAUCCCACAUUUUGUGAACUUUGAGUAACUAGUCAACUACACGUGCAAAAGCACGCGAUGCAUAGUUAUGUACACAUCGGCGUGGUCAUGCUUAUACUCAAAAUGCAUUGCAACAUUUCUUUCUCCUUCUAUACGCUGUGAUUGUAAAAAGUGCACAGAAAAAUAAUUACAGGAAAACUUUAUAAUGUGAAACAUACGCCUGAUCCAUUCGGCGCAUUAGAUAGUGAAGAAGAUAGAAAGAUGGAGAGCAUUCUAUGGUGGGUCCAGUCUGAGAUAAGAUGGGUAUAGUGGCUUGCCCAUUCAUUUUUUUUAUUACAAAGGGUUCAAGGCAAAGCUCACACAUAAGUGGGGCUCACACAUAGCAGCUUUUACUGCAUGCUGGCAGAGAUUGAGCAAAUGCUAGCCAUCCGAUGCAUGCAAAUGAACGGCCAAUAUUGCAGGGAUUCGCCUGCACUUUUAACCCUUCGAUUUAGAAGCUAGACGACAGAGAUUGAGGUGCCAUGGCGGGAAACCAAGGCAAAGCAAAAUUUAAAAACUGCUGUAUUAUUUUUUUUAGCGUAAAAAAACUGCUGUACUAUAGUAGUAGUGAGUAAUAAAAGGCCUUUAUUCUUAAAAAAAUCCCCAAGAAAAAAAAUGGCCCUUUGAAGAGGGGCAGCGCUAUACCUCGCUUGCUGUGGCACGUCUAGGUAUCGCUUCAUGCCACACCUAACAUAGGCUCGUCACAAGAUAGGCUAAUGGUUAUUCGUUAGUUUAUUUAUUAUUUGUUUUCCUUUUUUUAGAAACUUUCAAUCUAUUCAUCUCAAAUCAUGAUAAUACAAAGAACACCAAAGAUAAUAAAAAUUACAACCAGCUCCGUGGACUACCUAGCGAUGACUACAAGCACUGGAGCGAACCAAAGGCACGCCGCCAUCGUCGCCUCUCCCUCGCCGGAACCGAGCAAAUCUUAUUGUAUUAGAUAAUUGGGAAGUCUUCAUGGUAAGGCCCCACAGGACCAGCGCACCAGAGCAGCAACCAUCGCGGACGAAGAAAGUCGUAGAUCGGAAGCAUCAAACCUGUAAUUAAACACCCAAACCACGAUGAACAAAGAUCAUAUCCAAACAGAUCCACCGGAGAUCAGCACCAACUGAAUCUCCGAGAUCCAACAAAGACACACCUCCAUACACCCUCCGACGAUGCUAGAUGCAUCAUCGGGAUGGUGAUAGAACGUGGGAGACAUUAUUCCGAUCGAGGGACAUCGUUGCUGCCACAUAGCCCCAUGAAGACAUUGAACCUAAACAGAACGAGAACGGGGGCCCUCCCGCCAGNNNNNNNNNNNNNNNNNNNNNNNNNNNNNNNNNNNNNNNNNNNNNNNNNNNNNNNNNNNNNNNNNNNNNNNNNNNNNNNNNNNNNNNNNNNNNNNNNNNNNNNNNNNNNNNNNNNNNNNNNNNNNNNNNNNNNNNNNNNNNNNNNNNNNNNNNNNNNNNNNNNNNNNNNNNNNNNNNNNNNNNNNNNNNNNNNNNNNNNNNNNNNNNNNNNNNNNNNNNNNNNNNNNCAAUGGCCCAAAGGCCAUUGGAGAUGGUGCGGGCCGCUGGCGGCACCGAUGGGUGGAAGAGGAAAGUUCGGGAUUUUUUUCCUUGUACAGGAGGAAAGAGAAGUAUUUGUUUUUCUUCUUUUUUUCCAUUUUUCAAACACAAUGUUGCUUAAAAUUCUGCAAGUGUUCAUCAUGCAUUUAAGAAAAUGUUUAUGCAGUGCAAAUAUAUUGUUUCCGCACUUUUAAAAAAUGUGCACCAUUCCAAAAAUGUUCAUGACAUUUUAAAUAAAUACAUGCAUUUCAAAAAAAAUUCAAACGUGACUUCUUUUUAGAAAACCUUUAUACAAUGUUAAAAAUAUUGGCAUAAUUUAAAUAUUCCUAAAUGUUUCAUACCAUUCAAAACAAGUGUUUGUGAAAUUUUAGAAAAUGUUCACGUGUUUCAAAAUAUUUUCAUGACAAAAAUUAUCCAUUCUAGAAAUCAUAUUUACGUAAUUUAACUAAAAUAUUUCUUACCAUUCAAAAAAAUGUUCGUAACAUUUAAAAAAAAUUCAUAACACUUAUAAUAUAUUUUGCAUGUUUUUAAAACAAUUAAUGUCAUUUAAGAAAAAUGUUCAAUAUGUAUUAAAAAUGCUGAAUAUGUAUUAAAAAAACUAAAUGUGCAUUUGACAAAUGUUUUCAAUGUGUAUUUCGGAAAAAUGUUCAAGGUGUACUUAAAAGAUGUUAAACGAGUUCUGGCAAAAUGUUCAACGUGUAUAUAAAAAUAUUCAACAUGUAUUUGGAAAAAGUUUGGAUGUAUUUAAAAAAUGAAGUAAAAACAAACAGAAAAUCAUAAAUAAAAAGCAAAAAAAACUAAUGAAACCCGAUCAAAAAUAGAUAGGAACAAAAGGAGCAGAAAAACUACAAAUAUAACUCACAUGAAGAAAAAAAAUAUAAGAACAACAUUUUCUUUUAUUUACAGGAAUUUUGAAAACAAUGAAUCAUAAGUCAUAUGAGUUGUUACUACAUAGAUUGUUUGAUAUGUAAGAUUAGAAUUCGUACGAUGUUUUCUAUACAUCACUGAAGUAAAUGGCAUCUAAACUUUCGGGAAAAAAAAUUAUGGCUCGUGGGCUCGUAUGUCUUUCCUAUGGUGAAAUCAAACACCCUUUUGUGUCAAUAGAAGAGGAUGAGUCACUACAAUGCCACAAUAAGCAAUAAUAUUGAUUUAGAUUUUGAAUCUGUGGAAGCCUAGCCUGCAUAGUCGUGCUAUAUUACAUGACAAAUACACAGGAGAGAGAUUAUUAAACACUAAAACAAGCAACAACAAAGAGAGAUUUUAAAAAGUAUGUAGCAAUAUUAAUAAAUAUGUUUUGUACUACAUGGUGCUCUAGAAAACUCAUAGUAGAAUUUCUCUAACACCAACUAUGAAUAUAUAAUGGUACAGUUGGAACCGUUGAAAAGAAAAAUAAUAUGCUGAACUUAUUUCUUUAUUUUAUUUUACAAUAAUAUAGAAUGAUUCUCGGGAUUUGUCGCUUAGAGAUAGUAUCCAUGUCUACACCCCAAAUAUUUCACAACAACAAAAUCUAGAAAUCUUAAUUAAAAUGGAUAUUUUGGUUGUUUAGUUACCUUGUCUAUGUGGAUAUUUUAUUUCUUAAUCUCUCCAUUCACAUGUUUAUUUUGUUAUUCCAUUGAAAUAUAACAUAAAAAAUAUUGGAUCGCCUCUGCUAAACUCUCACCAUUGUUUGCAAACAUAUAAAUUUAUAGUUGUGCAUCUAACACCAAUGGUCGAUAAUUUAAAUGUUGAUGUUGCAUGCUGAUCUUACAUCGCAUAACACUAUCUACUACGCCCAAACAAUUGGCAUGGCCCUAAAUAUAGCACGGUGCCUUUGAAAAUGGCAUAAUAGUAACUCACACAUAAAUUAAAAUAUUAUUAUAGGGGUUUCCUACAAUUGCGAUAUUUAUAGGCUAAUUUAUUUGUAGUGGUUCUGGAAUUAACUAUUUUUAUAUGGAAUGAUAUGAAUAUCCAUGAAAGCAUAUGUUUAAUUUCAAGACGCGAUCAAUUGCCUAAAGAAGAUGCCCUUGCAUUUGCGAGGGCCACUCGGCUAGUUUGAAGANNNNNNNNNNNNNNNNNNNNNNNNNNNNNNNNNNNNNNNNNNNNNNNNNNNNNNNNNNNNNNNNNNNNNNNNNNNNNNNNNNNNNNNNNNNNNNNNNNNNNNNNNNNNNNNNNNNNNNNNNNNNNNNNNNNNNNNNNNNNNNNNNNNNNNNNNNNNNNNNNNNNNNNNNNNNNNNNNNNNNNNNNNNNNNNNNNNNNNNNNNNNNNNNNNNNNNNNNNNNNNNNNNNNNNNNNNNNNNNNNNNNNNNNNNNNNNNNNNNNNNNNNNNNNNNNNNNNNNNNNNNAUGUGACAUGCAUUGCGUCGAACUGUCAACGCUUCACACAAGUACAAGCUAACGAGUGACCAAGUAUUGUUUUUUGGUUCAUUUCUUUUUUCUGGGUCCUUCUCUUUUUUCCAAAAUUCACAAAUUAAACUAUAUAUAAAAACUUCAAAUGAGUAUUCAUUUUCAAGAAGUUCAGAUUCAAAAAAUAAUAGGUAUUUUCUAAAAAAAUGUAUUUUCAAAAGUUAUUUGGAAUUUAAGAAACUGUCAGUGUAAAAAAUUACCGUUUUCAAAAUUUGUCCACAAAUUCAAAAAUGUCUAAAAAUACCGUCUAAAAAAGUGAUCCUAAUUUUGAAAAAUGUUCAUAAUUUUAAAAAGAAUUUUUGUUUGCGAAAAAACGAUCAAACUUUGUUCGCCUUUUUACAAAUUUGUUCAUAAAUUAAAAAUAUUUCAGAAAAACACCGACUAGAAAAUUUGACCCAAUUUUGAAAAAUUAUCAAAAUUUAAAAUAGGUUGUCUUUUCUAAAAAAAAUUCAAACUUUGUUCAUGUUUUUAAAAGCAUUCAGGUUUUAUAGAAAAUAUUCAUAUUUCAAAAAAUGUUGGUAUUAAAAAUCCACAUUACCUUUAUAUGGCCUACAUUACCCGUCGCUAUCUUUCAGACUUAUAAAGGUUGGAGUUGGUGGUGAGUUAACAUGUGGGACCAACAGCCUUCACAAAUAAACUAAUGUACCUCUACCCAUAUUGGGAUUACCAAUCUUCCAAAAAUAUAAAUAAACAAAUACAUUUCUAACCUAACACAAAUAAACAAAUACACUACUACUUUCACGUGAGACCAACACUUACAGAAGGCACAAUUAACAAAUGCAGAAAUGUGAGUCCAACUCAAAAUAAUGCUCUUAUUUUUUAGUUAACCAAGUAAUUUUGGUGUUAUAUCACAGAACAAAAGAGUUAACAAAUUGCAAUUCAAAAUGACGAUAGAUCUUGUCCUCCUAUUUGGUCCACGACCUUGUGCAGUCAACUUAUCAAUGUCUAUUGUUAUACGUUUCAAUAUUCUAAAUGUUUUGUCUGUCAAAGGACAUACUAUGGUUACUUGAGAUUCUCUAAUGCAUGAGACAUGAUAUUUUUUAUUGUAUUUUUGUUCUUUUUAAUAGUGAACGACGCACAAAGACCGCAUGAUGCUAACAUAUUUCGAUGAUUUACUAAGCCAGUGACCUAACUCCUCAUAUUUUACAAUCUCGUAGCAACGCACGGUCAUUGUGCUAGUGGUAAUAGAGUGUACAGUACCUCGGUCUACAUUGUCACUGCGGGAACUCUUUUGCAAAAAAAGAAAAGAAAACGUGCAACAUGGAAACAUGUUAUAUUCACUGGCCCGCUCAAACUCGCUUAUGCGAAUGCUGGACUGUUUGCCGCAACGAGCGGCAAAUUGGUGCAAAGGCCGGUCCCUCAAGAAAAAAAACUUACAAGGCCCGGAAGAUGAUAGAGGGGGUGAACCCAUAUAUUUGAUUACUACUAAAAUAUGGAGGGGCUUGAAAACAAGCCCAAACUGCUGGGUGAUAGCAUCUCCCUGAAAGUGAAUGAAGGGAGCCCCUAUUUGAUGCCCUUUGCGUCAAUUUGGCGGCGUUACGCAUAGAGAGGGAGCCUGACUAGACCGGCCCAUCAAGUUCUACCGUGGGAUUAAAAAGAUAGGAGAAAAAGGAAACGCGCGCGACCCUGGAUUCGAACCAAAGACAAACCGCGCACUAAGACGCGCUCCUAGACACUCCAACUAAGCAGUAUUAUUGUUAAUAAAGCAGUGCAUAGCUUAAAGAACUAACCAUAUAUGUGGAACCGGAAUUGUCUACUGUAGCGAACCGGAACAAGUAUUGUAGCGAACCGAAAGUAGCUAUUGAAGCAAAUCUGAAUUAGUUACUGGGGUGAACCAAAAAUUUGAAAAAGCAGAAAAAUUAAACAAAAAAUGUUGGUUUUUGAAAAACCUAAAGAAAUUGAAUUUGCGAACAAACUAUGAAAUUCUAAACAAAUGUUGAAACCAUCAACUUUUUGUAUUUUUUCACAAAUAUUUGAAAUGUAGAAUAUUUCAUGAUAUUUAUUGAAUUGUGAACAAAAAUUUAAAAUGGAGCAUUUCAUGAAAUUCCGAACAUAAAUUUAAAACCACGGAUAUUUUUUGAAUUUGUGAACAAACAAUUUAAAAUGGAGCAUUUCAUGAAAUUCCAAACAAAAAUUUAAAAACACGGACAUUUUUUGAAUUUGUAAACAAAAAAAUUAAAAUGGAGCAUUUCAUGAAAUUCCGAAAAAAAAUUGAAAUUACGAACAUUUUCUGAAGUCCUUGAACAUUUUCUGGAAUGCGGUCAUUUUUUAAAUUUCUGACCAAAUUUGUAAUCACGAAAAAGUGGAUCAUUUCAUGAAAUUCCGAAAAAAAUUUGAAAUCGCGAAUAUUUUUUGAAAUUCUUGAACAUUUUCUGAAAAUGCAAAAAUAUUUCAAAUUUCUGACCAAAAUCUGUAAUCGCGAAAAAAGGAACAAUUUUUGAAAUUCUUGAACAUUUUCUGCAUUGCGAACAUUUGUUUUUAUUUUCAGACAAAAAUUUGAAACCACAAACAUACCUUAGUUUUUUUUAAAUGAAUAAUUUUUCAACUUGUGAAUAGUAAAAGAAUAAAAGAAACAUAUUUUGGAAUCUUGAAUAUUUUUUCAACUUGUGAACAUAGUUUAAAGACAAGAACAUUUUUUGAAAUUCAUGUACAUAUAUUUUUUAUACUAGAACAUUUUUUGGAAUUUAUGAACAAAAUUUGAAAGGAGGAAUAUUUGUUAAAAAUCUGAUUUUUAAAAAAAAUUCGAAAAAAAUAUAUUAAAAUGAAAAUCAACAUGAAGAAGAGAAAACGAAAAAUCAAACAAAAAGUGAAAGAAAAAAGAAACAUAAAAGAGAAAGAAACAAAUAAACGAAAGAAAAAACAAAAAAGGAAAAAUAAAACCAAAACAAAAAUGGGAAUCCAUAAAAAACUGGAGUUGAACCUUCUCAAAAUCAGGAUCCGUGUACACGCUAAACAGCUAACAUGAGCCGGCGGCCCACUGCAAUCGCUCCGUCGUCGAUCGCUUGUUGCAAAACAUCGACAUCUUAACGCAGUGUGCGUCCGUUAAGAAAUUCUGUGAAUGAAAGCAUGCCUUCUGCUAGUAGGCCAUGAACCCGUUAGCAUAUGAAGAGUUUCAGGAAUUUCAUUUUUUUCAAGAGAGACUUUCAGGAUUUCCUGAACAACAAUAAUUUUUUUGACGUCUGGGAGAAAGAAAAGGCGCAGGCGAAUUUGAUGAUAUUCUGCGAUGCGAUGAUGAUCGAUGCAGUAGCUAGCUAGCUAUACUAGUGUGGUUCGUCAACGGCUAAAGAAUGGUGGCCGGAAUCUUUGUGGUUUUGCCUGCGAGAGCGUGCCAUGCAUUAGGCCAACUCUGACGCGCGAUCUCAAACAGACGUUCAUUUUGUCCGGAUUUCGUCCUUUGGGGUGGGGAUGGGCCGUGUCCGUCCGGAUUUGGAUUUGCGUCGGCCGGGCGCCCAACGCGCGACCGCUGUUGGGAAACGUAGUAGAAAUUCAAAAAAUUUCUACGUGUCACCAAGAUCUAUCUAUGGAGAAACCAGCAACGAGGGGAAGGAGAGUGCAUCUACAUACCCUUGUAGAUCGCUAAGCGGAAGCGUUCAAGAGAACGGGGUUGAUGGAGUCGUACUCGUCGUGAUCCAAAUCACCGAUGAUCCUAGUGCCGAACGGACGGCACCUCCGUGUUCAACACACGUGCAGCCCGGUGACGUCUCCCAUGCCUUGAUCCAGCAAGGAGAGAGGGAGAGGUUAGGGAAGACUCCAUCCAGCAGCGGCACGACGGCGUGGUGGUGGUGGAGAAGCGUGGUACUCUAGCAGGGCUUCGCCAAGCACCGCAAGAAACGAGGAGAAAGACAGGUAGGGCUGCGCCAACAAGAGGAGAGGAACUCAUGUGUAUUGGGCAGCCCAAACCUCAACUAUAUAUAGAGGGAGGGGAGGGGCUGCGCCCCCACCUAGGAUUCCCUCCCUAGGGGUGGCGGCAGCCCCCUAGAUCCCAUCUAGGGGCGGCCAAGGGGAGGGGAGAGGGGGAGGCGCACCAGGGUGGGCCUUAGGGCCCAUCUGCCCUAGGGUUUGCCCCCUUCCCCUCUUCCNNNNNNNNNNNNNNNNNNNNNNNNNNNNNNNNNNNNNNNNNNNNNNNNNNNNNNNNNNNNNNNNNNNNNNNNNNNNNNNNNNNNNNNNNNNNNNNNNNNNNNNNNNNNNNNNNNNNNNNNNNNNNNNNNNNNNNNNNNNNNNNNNNNNNNNNNNNNNNNNNNNNNNNNNNNNNNNNNNGGGGGGGCGCACCAGCCCACCUGGGGCUGGUCCCCUCCCACACUUGGCCCAUGCAGCCCUCCGGGGCUUGUGACCCCACUUGGUGGACCCCCGGGACCCUCCCGGUGGUCCCGGUACGUUACCGAUAAAACCCGAAACUUUUCCGGUGAUCAAAGCAGGACUUCCCAUAUAUAAAUCUUUACCUCCGGACCAUUUCAGAACUCCUCGUGACGUCCGGGAUCUCAUCCGGGACUCCGAACAACAUUCGGUAACCACAUACAAACUUCCUUUAUAACUCUAGCGUCAUCGAACCUUAAGUGUGUAGACCCUACGGGUUCGGGAACCAUGCAGACAUGACCGAGACGUUCUCCGGUCAAUAACCAACAGCAGGAUCUGGAUACCCAUGUUGGCUCCCACAUGCUCCACGAUGAUCUCAUCAGAUGAACCACGAUGUCAAGGACUUAAUCAAUCCCGUAUGCAAUUCCCUUUGUCCAUCGGUACGAUACUUUCCCGAGAUUCGAUCGUCGGUAUCCCGAUACCUUGUUCAAUCUCGUUACCGGCAAGUCUCUUUACUCGUUCCGUAACACAUCAUCCCAUGAUCAACUCCUUGGUCACAUUGUGCACUUAUAAUGAUGUCCUACCGAGUGGGCCCAGAGAUACCUCUCCGUUUACACGGAGUGACAAAUGCCAGUCUCGAUUUGUGCCAACCCAACAGACACUUUCGGAGAUACCCGUAGUGCACCUUUAUAGUCACCCAGUUACGUUGUGACGUUUGGCACACCCAAAGUAUUCCUACGGUAUCCGGGAGUUGCACAAUCUCAUGGUCUAAGAAAAUGAUACUUGACAUUAGAAAAGCUUUAGCAUACGAAUUACAUGAUCUUGUGCUAGGCUUAGGAUUGGGUCUUGUCCAUCACAUCAUUCUCCUAAUGAUGUGAUCCCGUUAUCAACGACAUCCAAUGUCCAUGGUCAGGAAACCAUAACCAUCUAUUGAUCAACGAGCUAGUCAACUAGAGGCUUACUAGGGACAUGGUGUUGUCUAUGUAUCCACACAUGUAUCUGAGUUUCCUAUCAAUACAAUUCUAGUAUGGAUAAUAAACGAUUAUCAUGAACAAGGAAAUAUAAUAAUAAGCAAUUUAUUAUUGCCUCUAGGGCAUAUUUCCAACAGUCUCCCACUUGCACUAGAGUCAAUAAUCCAGUUCACAUCGAUAUGUGAUUAACACUCAAGGUCACAUCCCCAUGUGACUAACACCCAAAGAGUUCUGGGUUUGAUCAUGUUAUGCUUGUGAGAGAGGUUAUAGUCAACGGGUCUGAACCUUUCAGAUCCGUGUGUGCUUUACAAAUCUCUAUGUCAUCUCCUAGAUGCAGCUACCACGUUCUAUUUGGAGCUAUUCCAAAUAACUGUUCUACUAUACGAAUCCAGUUUACUACUCAGAAUAAUCUGGAUUAGUGUCAAAGUUUGCAUCGGCGUAACCCUUUACGACGAACUCUUUUGCCACCUCCAUAAUCGAGAAAAUUCCUUAGUCCACUAGUUACUAAGGAUAACUUUGACCGCUGUCCUGUGAUCCAUUCUUGGAUCACUCUUGUACCCCUUGACUGACUCAUGGCAAGGCACACUUCAGGUGCGGCACACAGCAUAGCAUACUGUAGAGAGCCUAUGACAAAAGCAUAGGGGACGACCUUCGUCCUUCCUCUUUCUUCUGCCGUGGUCGAGCUUUAAGUCUUAACUUCAUACCUUACAACUCAGGCAAGAACUCCUUCUUUGACUGAUCCAUCUUGAACACCUUCAAGAUCAUGUCAAGGUAUGUGCUCAUUUGAAAGUACCAUUAAGCGUUUUGAUCUAUCCUUAUAGAUCUUGAUGCUCAAUGUUCAAGUAGCUUAAUCCAGGCUUUCCAUUGAAAAACACUUUCCAAAUAACCCUAUAUGCUUUCCAGAAAUUCUACGUCAUUUCUGAUCAACAAUAUGUCAACAAUAUAUAUUCAUCAGAAAUUCUAUAGUGCUCCCACUCACUUCUUUGGAAAUACAAGUUUCUCAUAAACUUUGUAUACACCCAAAACUUUGAUCAUCUUAUCAAAGCAUACAUUCCAACUCCGAGAUGCUUACUCCAGUUCUUAGAAGGAUUGCUGGAGCUUUGCAUACUUGUUAGCAUCUUUCAGGAUUGACAAAACCUUCCGGUUGUAUCACAUACAACCUUUCCUCAAAAACCGUCGAGGAAACAAUGUUUUGGCAUCCUAUUUGCAAGAUUUCAUAAAUAAUGCAGUAAUUGCUAGUAUAAUUCCAACAGACUUUUAGCAUCGCUACGAGUGAGAAAGUCUCAUCGUAGUCAACUCCUUGAACUUGUUGGGAAACAUCUUAACGACAUGUCGAGCUUUCUUAAUGGUGAUACUUACCAUCAUUGUCUGUCUUCCUUUUAAAAUCCAUAUGUACCUAACAGCCUUACGACCAUCAAGUAGUUCUUCCAAAGUCUACACUCUGUUUUCAUACAUGGAUCCUCUCUCAGAUUUUAUGGCCUCGAGCCAUUUAUCGGAAUCCGGGCCCACCAUCGCUUCUCCAUAGCUUGUAGGUUCAUUGUUGUCUAGCAACAUGACUUCCAAGACAGGAUUACGUACCACUCUGAAGUAGUACGCAUCCUUGUCAUCCCACGAGGUUUGAUAGUGACUUGAUCUGAAGUUUCAUGAUCACUAUCAUAAGCUUCCACUUCAGUUGGUGUAGGUGCCACAGGAACAACUCCCUGUGCCCUGCCACACACUAGUUGAAGAGACGGUUCAAUAACCUUAUCAAGUCUCCAUCAUCCUCCCACUCAAUUCUUUCGAGAGAAACUUUUCCUCGAGAAAGGACCCGAUUCUAGAAACAAUCCCUUAUUGCUUUCGGAUCUGAGACAGGAGGUAUACCCAACUGUUUUGGGUGUCCUAUGAAGAUGCAUUUAUCCGCUUUGGGUUUGUGCUUAUCAGCCUGAAACUUUUUCACAUAAGCGUCGCAGCCCCAAACUUUUAAGAAAUGACAACUUAGGUUUCUCUAAACCAUAGUUCAUACGGUGUCAUCUCAUCGGAAUUACGUGGUGCCCUAUUUAAAGUGAAUGUGGUUGUCUCUAAUGCCUAACCCAUAAACUAUCGUGGUAAUUCGAUAAGAGACAUCAUGGUAUGCAUCAUAUCCAAGAGGGUGCAGUUAUGAUGUUCGGACACACCAUCACACUAUGGUGUUCCAGGCUGUAUUAGUUGUGAAACAAUUUCCACAAUGUCUUAAUUCUGUACCAAACUCGUAAUUCAUAUAUUCAUCUCUAUGAUCAUAUCAUAGAUCUUUUAUCCUCUUGUCACGACGAUCUUUCAACUUCAUCCUGAAAUUACUUGAACCUUUCAAUAAUUCAGACUCGUGAUUCAUUAAGUAAAUAUAGUCAACAUCUACUCAAAUCAUCUGUGAAGUAAGAACAUAACGAUAUCCACUACACGCCUCAGCACUCAUUGGACUGCACACAUCAAAAUGUAUUACUUCCAACAAGUUGCUUUCUAGUUCCAUUUUACUGAAAACGAGGCUUUCAGUCAUCUUGCCCAUGUGGUAUGAUUUGCAUGUCUCAAGCGAUUCAAAAUCAAGUGAGUCCAAACGGUCCAUUUGCAUGGAGUUUCUUCAUGCAUAUACACCAAUAGACAUGGUUCGCAUGUCUCAAACUUUUCAAAACGAGUGAGCCCAAAGAUCCAUCAACAUGGAGCUUCUUCAUGUGUUUUAUACCGAUAUGACUUACGUGGAAGUGCCACAAGUAGGUGGUACUAUCAUUACUAUCUUAUAUCUUUUGGCAUGAACAUGUGUAUCACUACGAUCGAGAUUCAAUAAACCAUUCAUUUUAGGUGCAAGACCAUUGAAGGUAUUAUUCAAAUAAACAGAGUAACCAUUAUUCUCCUUAAAUGAAUAACCGUAUUGCGAUAGACAUAAUCCAAUCAUGUCUAUGCUCAACGCAAACACCAACCUCGAUGGAAGAGGGAGCGUGCGAUGCUUGAUCACAUCAAGCUUGGAAAAACUUCCAACACAUAUUGCCAGCUCACCUUUAGCUAGUCUCCGUUUACUCCGCAGUCUUUUAUUUCGAGUUUACUAACACUUAGCAACCGAACCGGUAUCUAAUACCAUGGUGCUACUAGGAGUACUAGUAAAGUACACAUUAACACAAUGUAUAUCCAAUAUACUUCUAUCGACCUUGCCAGCCUUCUCAUCUACCAAGUAUCUAGGGUAAUUCUGCUCCAGUGGCUGUUCCUCUUUAUUACAAGAGCACUUAGUCUCGGGUUUGGGUUCAACCUUGGGUUUCUUCACUAGAGCAGCAACUGAUUUGCCGUUUCAUGAAGUAUCCCUUCUUGCCCUUGCCCUUCUUGAAACUAGUGGUUUCACCAACCAUCAACAAUUGAUGCUCCUUCUUGAUUUCUACUUUUGUGGUGUCAAACAUCGCGAAUAUCUCAAGGAUCAUCACGUAUGUCCCUGAUAUAUUAUAGUUCAUCACGAAGCUCUAGCAGCUUGGUGGUAAUGACCUCAGAGAAACAUCACUAUCUCAUCUGGAAGAUCAACUCCCACUCGAUUCAAAUGAUUGUUGUACUCAGACAAUCUGAGCACAAGCUCAACAAUUGAGCUUUUCUCCCUUAGUUUGCAGGCUAAGAAAAUCGUCGGAGGUCUUAUACCUCUUGACGUGGGCACGAGCCUGAAAUCCCAAUUUCAGUCCUCAAAACAUCUCAUAUGUUUCACGACGUUUCAAGACGUCUUCGGUGCCUCAACUCUAAACCGUUUAACUGAACUAUCACAUAGUUAUCAAAUGUGUAUGUCAGAUGUUCGCAACAUCCACAGACGACGUUCGAGGUUCAGCACACUGAGCGGUGCAUUAAGGACAUAGGACUUCUAUGAAGAAAUGAGGACAAUCCUCAGUUUACGGACUUAGUCCGCAUAAUUGCUACUAUCAUCUUUCAACUAAAUUUUCUCUAGGAACAUAUCUAAACAGUAGAACUAAAGCGCGAGCUACGACAUAAUUUGCGAAGACCUUUUGACUAUGUUCAGGAUAAUUAAGUUCAUCUUAUGAACUCCCACUCAGAUAGACAUACCUCUAGUCAUCUAAGUGAUUACAUGAUCCGAGUCAACUAGGCCGUGUCCGAUCAUCACGUGAGACGGACUAGUCAUCAUCGGUGAACAUCUUCAUGUUGAUCGUAUCUACCAUACGACUCAUGCUCGACCUUUCGGUCUUCUGUGUUCCGAGGCCAUGUCUGUACAUGCUAGGCUCGUCAAGUCAACCUAAGUGUUUGCAUGUGUUCCGAGGCCAUGUCUGUACAUGCUAGGCUCGUCAACACCCGUUGUAUUCGAACAUAAGAAUCUAUCACACCCGAUCAUCACGUGGUGCUUCGAAACGACGAACUUCCGCAACGGUGCACAGUUAGGGGGAACACUUUCUUGAAAUUUUAAUGAGGGAUCAUCUUAUUUACUAUCGUCGUUCUAAGCAAAUAAGAUGUAUAAACAUGAUAAACAUCACAUGCAAUCAAAUAAUAGUGACAUGAUAUGGCCAAUAUCAUAUAGCUCCUUUGAUCUCCAUCUUGGGGCUCCAUGAUCAUCUUGUCACCGGCAUGACACCAUGAUCUCCAUCAUCAUGAUCUCCAUCAUCGUGUCUCUAUGAAGUUGCUCGCCAACUAUUACUUCUACUACUAUGGCUAUCGGUUAUCAAUAAAGUAAAGUAAUUACAUGGCGUUGUUCAAUGACACGCAGGUCAUACAAUAAAGACAACUCCUAUGGCUCCUGCCGGUUGUCAUACUCAUCGACAUGCAAGUCAUGAUUCCUAUUACAAGAACAUGAUCAAUCUCAUACAUCACAUAUAUCAUUCAUCACAUCCUUUUGGCCAUAUCACAUCACAUAGCAUACCCUGCAAAAACAAGUUAGACGUCCUCUAAUUGUUGUUUGCAUAUUUUACGUGGCUGCUAUGGGUUUCUAGCAAGAACAUUUCUUACCUACGCAAAAACCACAACGUGAUAUGCCAAUUGCUAUUUACCCUUCAUAAGGACCCUUUUCAUCGAAUCCGAUCCGACUAAAGUGGGAGAGACAGACACCCUCUAGCCACCUUAUGCAACUAGUGCAUGUCAGUCGGUGGAACCAGUCUCACAUAAGAGUACGUGUAAGGUCGGUCCGGGCCGCUUCAUCCCACAAUGCCGCCGAAUCAAGAUUGGACUAGUAACGGUAAGCAUAUUGAACAAAAUCAAUGCCCACAACUACUUUGUGUUCUACUCGUGCAUAGAAUCUACGCAAUAGACCUAGCUCAUGAUGCCACUGUUGGGGAACGUAGCAGAAAUUCAAAAUUUUCCUACGUGUCACCAAGAUCUAUCUAUGGAGAAACCAGCAACGAGGGGAAGGAGAGUGCAUCUACAUACCCUUGUAGAUCGCUAAGCGGAAGCGUUCAAGAGAACGGGGUUGAUGGAGUCGUACUCGUCGUGAUCCAAAUCACCGAUGAUCCUAGUGCCGAACGGACGGCACCUCCGUGUUCAACACACGUACAGCCCGGUGACGUCUCCCAUGCCUUGAUCCAGCAAGGAGAGAGGGAGAGGUUAGGGAAGACUCCAUCCAGCAGAAGCACGACGGCGUGGUGGUGGUGGAGAAGCGUGAUACUCCAGCAGGGCUUCGCCAAGCACCGCAAGAAACGAGGAGAAAGACAGGUAGGGCUGCGCCAACAAGAGGAGAGGAACUCAUGUGUAUUGGGCAGCCCAAACCUCAACUAUAUAUAGGGGGAGGGGAGGGGCUGCACCCCCACCUAGGGUUCCCUCCCUAGGGGUGGCGACAGCCCCCUAGAUCCCAUCUAGGGGCGGCCAAGGGGAGGGGAGAGGGAGAGGCGCACCAGGGUGGGCCUUAGGGCCCAUCUGCCCUAGGGUUUGCCCCUUCCCCUCUUCCUUGUGCCUUGGGCCUUGGUGGGGGGGGGGGCGCACCAGCCCACCUGGGGCUGGUCCCCUCCCACACUUGUCCCAUGCAGCCCUCCGGGGCUUGUGGCCCCACUUGGUGGACCCCCGGGACCCUCCCGGUGGUCCCGGUACAUUACCGAUAAAACCCGAAACUUUUCCGGUGACCAAAACAGGACUUCUCAUAUAUAAAUCUUUACCUCCGGACCAUUCCGGAACUCCUCGUGACGUCCAGGAUCUCAUCCGGGACUCCGAACAACAUUCGGUAACCACAUACAAACUUCCUUUAUAACCCUAGCGUCAUCGAACCUUAAGUGUGUAGACCCUACGGGUUCGGGAACCAUGCAGACAUGACCGAGACGUUCUCCGGUCAAUAACCAACAGCGGGAUCUGGAUACCCAUGUUGGCUCCCACAUGCUCCACGAUGAUCUCAUCAGAUGAACCACGAUGUCAAGGACUUAAUCAAUCCCGUAUGCAAUUCCCUUUGUCCAUCGGUACGAUACUUGCCCGAGAUUCGAUCGUCGGUAUCCCGAUACCUUGUUCAAUCUCGUUACCGGCAAGUCUCUUUACUCGUUCCAUAACACAUCAUCCCGUGAUCAACUCCUUGGUCACAUUGUGCAUAUUAUAAUGAUGUCCUACCGAGUGGGCCCAAAGAUACCUCUCCGUUUACACGGAGUGACAAAUCCCAGUCUCGAUUCGUGCCAACCCAACAAACACUUUCGGAGAUACCCGUAGUGCACCUUUAUAGUCACCCAGUUACGUUGUGACGUUUGGCACACCCAAAGUAUUCCUACGGUAUCCCGGAGUUGCACAAUCUCAUGGUCUAAGGAAAUGAUACUUGACAUUAGAAAAGCUUUAGCAUACGAACUACAUGAUCUUGUGCUAGGCUUAGGAUUGGGUCUUGUCCAUCACAUCAUUCUCCUAAUGAUGUGAUCCCGUUAUCAACGACAUCCAAUGUCCAUGGUCAGGAAACCGUAACCAUCUAUUGAUCAACGAGCUAGUCAACUAGAGGCUUACUAGGGACAUGGUGUUGUCUAUGUAUCCACACAUGUAUCUGAGUUUCCUAUCAAUACAAUUCUAGCAUGGAUAAUAAACGAUUAUCAUGAACAAGGAAAUAUAAUAAUAACCAAUUUAUUAUUGCCUCUAGGGCAUAUUUCCAACAACCGCAUCUUCGGCCACACCUUGUCCCCGUGCAUGCAAAAGUGAGAAACCAAGGAUUUAAGUUGCGGCCGCGGUUCGCACUACUUCAUUCCGGUGAUACGUCUCCAACGAUUCUAUAAUUUUUUAUUGUUCCAUGCUAUUAUAUUAUCUAUUUUGAAUGUUUUAUAUGCAUUAAUAUGUUAUAUUAUAUUAUUUUUGGGACUAACCUAUUAACCUAGAGCCUAGUGCUAGUUUCUGUUUUUUUCCUUGUUUUUGAGCUUCGCAGAAAAGGAAUACUAAACAGAGUCCAAGCGAAAUAAAACUUCACGAUGAUUUUUUUGGACCAGAAGACACCCAGAAAACUUGGAGUGCAAGUCAGAAGAGCCACGAGCCGGCGACAAGGGUGGAGGGCGCGCCCAGGGGGUAGGGCGCGCCCCCUACCUUGUGGGUCCCUCGGUGACCCCCUAACCUAGAUCUUCCUCUUAUAUAUUCACAUAUAUUCUCAAACCACUAGAAGCAUCCACGUAAACACUUUUCCACCGCCGCAGGCUUUUGUUCCCGUGAGAUCCCAUCUAGGGGCCUUUUCCGACAUCCUACCAGAGGGGAAUUCAAUCACGGAGGGCAUCUACAUCAACUCUCUUGCCCUUCCGAUGAAGCGUGAGUAGUCCAUCACAGACCUACGGGUCCAUAGCUAAUAGCUAGAUGGCCUCUUCUCUCUCUUUGAUUCUCAAUACCAUAUUCUCUUCGAUGUUCUUGAAGAUCUAUCCGAUGUAAUCUUCUUUUGCGGUGUGUUUGUCGAGAUCCGAUGAAUUGUGGAUUUAUGAUCAGCUUAUCUAUGAAUAUUAUUUGAAUCUCCUCUGAAUUCUUAUACGCAUGAUUUGGUAUCUUUGUACGUCUGUUUGAAUUAUCGGUUUGGUUUGGCCAACUAGAUUGGUUUUUCUUGCAGUGGGAGAGGUGCUUAGCUUUGGGUUCAAUCUUGCGGUGUCCUCACCCAGUGACAAAGUAGGGGUAGCGAGGCACGUAUUGUAUUGUUGCCAUCGAGGAUAGAAAGACGGGGUUUAAUCAUAUUACUUGAGUUUAUUCCUCUAUAUCAUGUCAUCUUAAUUAAUGCGUUACUCUGUUCUUUAUGAACUUAAUACUCUAGAUGCAGGCAGGAGUCGGUCGAUGUGUGGAGCAAUAGUAGUAGAUGCAGGCAGGAGUCGGUCGAUGAGUGAAGUAAUAGUAGUAGAUGCAGACAGGAGUCGGUCUACUUGAUACAUACGUGAUGCCUAUAUUGCAUAAUCAUUGACUUGGAUAUCGUCAUAACUUUGCGCUUUUCUAUCAAUUGGUCGACACUAAUUUGUUCACCCACCGUAUUAUUUGCCUUCAAGAGAGAAGCCUCUAGUGCCCCGGGUCUAUUUUCCAUCAUAUUAAUUUCCUAUCUACUAUUUUUCAUUAUAUUAAUUUUCGAUCUACUAUUUUGCAAUCUUUUAUUUUCAGAUCUAUAAACCAAAAAUGCCAAAAGUAUUUUAUCUUUUGUUUAUCUAUCUCUAUCAGAUCUCACUUUUGCAAGUGACCGUGAAGAAAUUGACAACCCCUUUAUCGCGUUGGGUGCAAGUGUUUGAUUGUUUGUGCAAGUAUUGAUGAUUUGCGCAUUCUUCUCCUACUGGAUUGAUACCUUGAUUAUCAAACCGUCAACGAUGAGUUCCACCUUCUCUAUGGCAGCAUCGUGGACAAGGUGCCCUUCCUGCAGAGGCCGUGGAGAAUGUACCAGCAGAUCGCGUGCCAUGACGGGUUCAGGGUGCUGAAGCUGCCGUACAAGUCGUUCAACGACGACAGCCCACCGGCGUACAACUCCAAGCCGCGCGAGGGCCUUCCCGAGUUCUCCAUGUGAGUCUUCCUCCCCGAGGACCGCGACGGCCUAAGGAGCUUGGUCGGGAGGAUCACGGCCCGCCCAAAGUUCCUACACGAGCACCUGCCGAGGGACCAUGUCCCCGUCGGCAAGUUCCGGCUGCCCAAGUUCAAGCUGAUGUACAUGAACAACAUCCGCAACGUUCUCAAGGACCUGGGCCUCCAGCUGCAGUGGCGGUGCCAGGAUCAAAACCUUGUGAUGUCAAGCAUUACAUAAAACAAACAAGUAGAAGUAGAAAAGUGGAGGGCCUUGCCUUGUGUUGGAUCAGAUACAGAGUGCAGACUAGCACAAUAGUAUUGGUCGAUUGAUUCAGAGUACCAGACGAACAAUUUAUGUGCAGCCGCAGGUGCGUCGCUCGCGGCUCGCCGGACGGCCCAAGGUGGUCGUUCCUCGCGUCUCACGUCCAGAGUCCAGUAAAAGAUCACCGGCGUCGGGACGUGAAGUCUGAAGACGGCGCUGCGGCGGCCGUCCACGAAGAGGCAUGCGUGAAGGGGAGCCAAAGAUAUCACGUAAUUUGUAGAUCAAGCGAUACAGUACGAUCAGUUAAGGGAUUUUGGACUUUCUUUUUGCUGUACGGCCCAAUAAUGACCCAACUAAUUGAUACACAAGCAGGGGGAUAAGAGAAUAGAUGGGCUGUAAGUUAAAUUGCUGGUUCAACGACGUGGUACAUAGACAUGGGGGUCAAUGUCGUACAAAAAUCCUGUGUAGUCAAGCGACUACACAGUUAUAACGUGGCCUCGCCACUGUCCAGCUGCCUUUCAACCGCGUUCUGGCCAACAUGGCUGGGAUCGUCGGGGAUGACGAGUCGGUCGUGCCAUUGUGUGUAAGCGAGGUUGUCCACAAGGCGGUGGUGGAGAUGAACGAGGAGGGGUGCGAGGCUGCCGCCGUCACCGUGGAGUCAGACGACGACUUGGGGUUCUCGCUUUACUGUGAUUACGAGUGUGUGCCACCACCUCCAACAGUGGACUUCGUCGCCGACCACCCGUUCGCCUUCUUCAUCGUUGAGGAGACUUCAGGCACUGUUGUGUUCGCUGGGCAUGUGCUUGAUCCUACCUAGGAAGAGUAGACUCCGGGCAUGAUCGAAUUGUGCCGCAUCACUUUUCAGUUUUGUAAGCAUACUACAAAAAUUAUAUGGAAAUCACGUGCGACUAUAUGUUUUGGUCUGAAAUUUUACGUAAUGCUAUUUAGAGGUGUGUUCAGUGGCACUUUCGAAAGAUGAUAAUUGCAGUGGCAUUCAUCUGAAUCGGCAAAGUUGCAGUGGCACUUAUCUGUUUAACAUGGUACAAUUGAAGAUGUUAACAUACACGCACAUACACCUACCCUUAUGAACGCACACAGCACACAACACCUCCAAGGUGCUGAACCCGCAUAAUAUUUUAAGAUAGACGAAGUCAUCAUAGACGUCUCCUAGUUGACGAAGAUGUCAUCUCUCCUACUAAAACAUAGUACAAAAAUUUGCCAUGCUAUAAUCAUAAAUUUACCAUGAUAUAUAGCAUAAAAUUACCAUGGUAUAGAGAUAAAACAAUUUCACAAAUAUAAAGAGAGAAAAGAACCCACAUCUAUGUCUGUUAUGUGACUGGGCCUUGUCCGUCGACAUAUAGGAGGGGGUGUCAAAGUAUGACAUUGUGAUCAAAUUAGGGGAGUGAAUGUUAUUCUCCCAAGUUCAGCAAUGUCCAUGUUAUGUUUCUUUGAAAUACUUAGAGGAGUAAGAAACGAUUAGAUUACUAGAGAUCCAAUUUUUUCUGCAGUCUUGUGAACAUGAGCGUAAAUUCCAUCCAUUUUUGUAAUAUUUCGGUUUGGAAUGGUACGUGUGAUGCAUGGGGUUAGAUGGCUGACUCCCCUAUCGGUGUAUGUGGACGUAUCCGCGAAUAUUUUGCGGUGUUUAAUUUGGGGUAUGCUAAAUUGGAAAUACCCUAAGAACAACUCUAGCAGAUGUUGCAAAGAGUUUACGGCUCCUCUUGAAACGAAUUUAUGGUGCCGCGGAAUUGGGCGGAAUAGGUGCUGCAAAACCGUACCACAAAAAAAAUCAUUUCCUCUUCCUUGCGUCAGGCAAGCCCGCCUCCCGUGCCCGAUCCCAAAGGCCUUCCGCGCCCGCGCCCUCCGGACGGCCGCCUACUCUGGCGACACUCCGGCCGCCGCUGCCGAGCUCCCCCGCCUGCUCCGGCCAGCCUAUACUGUGAAUUUAGAGGUUUCACCACCCUUGCGCGGCAUCUGCUGAAGUUGCUCUAAGAGCCUUGUGGUAGAGAUUUGAAAACUUUUUUCUCUAGUCCUAGUCCAAAGCAAGGUGCAAGCAUGGUUUACAGACAAAUCAUUUCUGUUAUGUGUUGACCGUCGACGAAAGCUACAGCGUGGGAAUAUUUAAAGCAGAGAUGCCGACAUGAUUUUGUGUGUGUGUAUUCUUAAAGACGAGCAUCGUAGGCCAGAGUCAAGUCAACUCAUUCUUGUCUGCGCAGAUCUCGUUGGCUUGGUUUCUACAAAUCAAGCUGAGGCUAGCAGGGAAGCGAUUCUUCUCUGGAGCCUCAUCGUCCCCGGCCGUUUCCUUCUUCUUUUGGCUCUUCACAGCUGCUACUUCUAGAGAGGGAGGAUUCGAUUCCCCCCAAGUGUUCCAUCUUCUCCAGGUCAGAGCUUUUUAGAAACUGAGAAGCUGCUUAGUUUCAGAUGUUCUUACAGCAACCAUGUAUGUUUAUAGCUUAGUAUCCUAGAGAUCGAUCCAUGCAUGUUUAGACGCGAGGUCGGGUGCCGGCUCUAUUGGUUAGGUUCUUCCUUGGAUGCCAGCGGUCGGUGGUGGAGGCCAAGUCAUGUUCGUUCCCCGCUCUCUGUUUUGUGGCUCCAUGGCUGGCCGCUCUGUGGGCUGCUGACCGGCGGACGGCAGCGGGUGAGGGGAGACAGUGGUCUCUCCUCCGGUUGAUGGCUUUAUUAAUUUGAUGAAGUUGGGAUGUUUGGCUUUUCUCUGAAAUAGAUCUGUCUUGCUCUGGUAAACAAGGAUUUGUGACCAUCCAUACAUAGCUUGUGCCUUGUAGCAGCUCAGCUCAAAACUUGUGCUCAAUCAUCAGAAAUGGCGACGGGGGCUAGCGGAGGGCAGCCGAGCGUUCUGAGCACAUUGCCCAAGGAUCUGCCGCUAGAUUUUCUGAAGACUAUCACCGAUCAGUUCUCACCAGAGCGUAUACUUGGUACAGGCGCAUUUGGAACUGUUUAUAUGGUAAUAUGGUCAUGCGUGCCUUCACAUUUUCGUGCCAAUUAGAUGCCAACAUUUGCUGAAAAUGUAUUUUUUGAGCUUGAACAGGGGAUUGCGCCAGACGGGCAAAAAAUUGCGGUGAAGAAACUUGCCGAAAAUACACCAAUCGCGCGUGACAAAGUAUUUACUAACGAGGUUCAGAAUAUUAUGGCUCUGCAACUACAUCAUGAGAAUGUAGUAAAGUUGGUCGGCUACUGCCAUGAAGCCCAAAAGAAAGUGGUGCAAAACAAUGGAAGAUAUAUUGUUGCAGACAUUGUUGAAAGUUUACUCUGCUACGAGUACUUGCCGCAGGGGAACCUUCAGAAGAAUCUUUUUGGUAUAUAAUUUUUUUUCCAUUUUAUUUUAAAACUGCUGGAAGUUAUUAUCUUUGAGUACUUACAUUAUGCAAUGUUUCACUUGUUCAGAGGUAUCCUGUGUAAUGGAUUGGGACACACGCUUCAGAAUCAUCAAGGGGAUCUGCCAAGGUUUAGCCUUCCUACACAGCAUUAACAUUGCCCAUAUGGAUCUUAAACCUGAGAAUAUACUGCUGGAUGAUAAGAUGACCCCGAAAAUUGCGGAUUUCGGUCUCUCGAGGCUCUUUGGUCAAGAACAAACACGGAUGAGAACACAAAAUGUUGUUGGAUCAUAGUAAGUCAAACAUCAAAUCCGUUAACAUUUUGUUCCGUCUUUAUGAAGUGAACUGCAUUUUGUUCUCUCCAGCAAUACUUACUAAAAUCUUUGUUGUCAGUGGAUACAUAGCUCCAGAAUAUCUAUACAGAGGCGAGAUCUCCACCAAGUCAGACAUAUAUAGUCUUGGCCUAUUAAUCUUGGAGACCACCACAGUUGAGAAAAAUUGUUCCAACAACGAACCAUCUGCGACGCAAUUUAUAAAAAGCGUAAGAGAAAUUAUUACUUGAUUCUUGAAAGACUGGGGUAUAUAUUUAGAAGCUCAUGAUACAAUUGGUUUAUAUUAUCUCCAAGGAUCAUAAUUCUGGUUCUGUACGUAGGUACAUGAUAACUGGACGGAUGAGCACAUAGUGUCUCAGUGGCCACAUCUUGAUGGGGAUCGCUUUCAGCAGAUAAAAGUAUGCAUCAAAAUUGGACUAGAAUGUGUGGAGAUCGAUCGGCAGAAGAGACCUUCCAUAGAAGAGAUUGUCGAUAGGCUCAACGGAUUAUGGUCAACUGGAAGUUGAAUGCCAUAUGCGGUAUGAAAUUACCUGGGCACACAAUGGCUUUCUAUUGUUAUGAUUUUGUUAGCCCCCACCUCAAUAUAAUAUUGCUCAAUGGCCCAGGUCCGAGUUCAUUGUUAAAAUGAUUUUGUUUUAUGAGAUUGCAGAGGAAGUUUUUUAUUCCUUUCUCUAAUAAAGGACAAUCAAUUCUGACUAACCUAACACUUAACAUCUGCAGAACCAUUUAGUUCGUGAUGCAUUUCAGCUGGUCGUAACAUUCGUACACUAUAUAUGGAACUUCAGAUCUCCAGUUUCCACGGAGCAUGAAACUUCGGUCUUUUCAGCAGAGAUGUGGAAGAUGGAACAACAUGCUUCAUUGUUGCUACAAUGAUUUUGAAAUAAUUCUUUCUGAUGUGCGUCAUUGUGGAUCUUGUUUAAAAUACUUUCUUUUACCCAACUACGUAGUUAUUUCUUAAUGUCAGUACCAAUAAGAACACGACUAGGCAGCGGCGCCCCAGGGCCGAUUUCCCAUGUGGCAUCAUAUUUCCUCUUCUCUCUUGCGUGUAUGCAACAAUAUAUUGGCAUGACAUCAACAAUGAUUUCUUUGAUUUUGAAUUUUUGAAAAGUUUCAUCUCUCCGGCCUAUCUUGAUUGAUAAUCCGGUUUCACCGUUGAUUUCUUUCUGGUGAGAACUUUGAAACUAGAUCACAUGUUGGUAUGUUUUGCCAACUUUUUUCUUCGUCGAUACUUGUCAGGUUAUGAGGCACUUGGUUGUCAUAUUAAAUUAACUUGGUUGCCUGGUUGCAGAAUGCCAGUGUAUACCACCAGAAGACUUGCUUCAUGGUACUUGUGUGAGUUGAUGACACUCUUUCCCUAUUGUUAACACUUGAAUAUUCACUCUCGACCAGAGGAGGGUUGAAUGGAUGAAUAUUCACUCUUUCCCGCCGCACAAAGCUCAGCAAUGGUGGUGUCGGUGACCUUGGAGGCCACCCACCUCCCCUUCACAUCUGCAUCGGCCAUUGAUGCGGGCGCGGAAGCUUGGGUGAAGCUGUGGGCUUGAGAUUAGAAAUGAGAAGGUUUGAGGAUUUGGGCGCUCGAUCAAGAGGAGAGCGUGGAGUUCGAUUUACCCCCUUGCUCUUUAUAAGCCAGCAAAAGGCGAAGCGUCCCUCUUCAGCGCCGUAAAAAUCGCCACGUUUCGGCUUACCUUGCCGUUGUGGCCGCAUGGCGAGAAGCAGUUGAUUGAUGAUAUCCCCCAAAAUGUGGGGCACGAUCUCUGUUUUGAUACGACGUGCUAGUAAGAAGUUUGCCUCGAACCACGAUUCAAAUAAGUAAUGACUGACGUAUGUCGUGUCAGGGUUGGUGACGCUUCAGUAAAAGGCUGUCAAUAACUGACCCCGAGUUCACCUGCGCUGCUAGUCUUCGGGACUAAGCAAGCUUUGUACUUUGGAUGAACACUAGUACGCCUUGAGCAGCACAUGACUGGAGUUACUUGGGCCUCUACCAAAGGGAUCCAUUAAGAGGACCCACGAAGCAUUAUACCCGUCCGAAGAUGUGGAACUUGCCUGCUAAGCCGAAGACAUUGUCCGAGGAAGAUUGUCAACCAUGGCUUCGAAGACAAGUUCGGAGGCUGCUGAUGGUGUCUUGGAUUAGGGGGUCCUAGCCAAGCCGGGCUAAAGUAUGGGCCGGACUACCAGCCCGUUGAGAAAGCAAGACUCCAGGGGCUCUCGAAGUGCGGCGACCGAAGACUUGGCAUGUACUUCGAGCAUAUUUAGAUUCAACAUGUGGAUCCUUAGAUAGUAACCGACCAUAUAUAACCUUAGCUACCCCCGGUGUCUAUAUAACCAGGAGGUUUAGUCCGUAGAGGCGAAUCCAUCCAUACACCCAUUCAUCAAACCUAGGGUUUAGACCACAACUUACGAUCUCAAGGUAGAUCAACUCUGUACUUCGAUACCUUCAUGAUAUAAACAAGAGUAGGACAUAGAGUUUUACCUCCAUCCAGAGGGCCCAAACCUGGGUAAAUCCCUUGUGUGUUCUUCUCCUGUUACCCAUCGAUCCAAUCUAACAGCUCGGGCCCCCCUACCCGAGAUCUUCCGUUUUUGACACCGACACUGUCCUUGUACGUUUGGGUCACCUUGCUUUAUGACUAAUCAUGUCAACCCGAGUCCUAUGUCAUAUGAAUGCUAGCAUCACAAUCAUAUACGUGAGCCAAAAGAUGCAAACGGUCCCGUCCAAGAUAAAAGCGGCAGCUGUGGGUUAACGUGCGUGAGGCCGUGAAGUGACAUGGUGUGUUAUAUGCUAGAUUGGUGUGACUAAGGAUCAGGGUCCCGACAAUGGAGCAGAUCUGAGCCACUAGAUUCCGGACGAAAUCCGCGGCGUUGUCCCCACCCCCGCCAUCGGGUGGAAACCGGCGACGGCGGUGAGAGCGAGCCGCGUAGGAAGGCUCCGAGGCUCACAACCGCGGCGGCGCGUGGGUCUGCGUGGUGGAGCGGCUGGAAGUGCGGCGGCUUUGGUGGUGGGGAGGGAGCGAGCAUCGUCUAUCGCAUGUCGCCUCGGGCCUUUGCCCCAAAGCACUCCCUUUCAACCUUCAGGAUUUCGUCAACAACAAAAGAAAAAUUAUGCUUUUUUUGCGAGAAAAAGAAGAAAAAUGAUGCCGACGGCUGGGAAAAAGAAAAGGCGCAAGCGAAUUGGUGGAAUUAUGCGAUGAUGAUCGAUGCAGUAGCUCGCUUAGGGCAUCUUCAGCCGCGCCCCCAGGAAGGCCUUCCCAGGCGUUUUUUUUGCGCCGGCGCCGAAAAAUCGGCCCAAUCGCGCCCCCAGGAGCCUGAUUUUCGCCGGCCUUGGCCGAAAACAGCGCCGGCAGACCCAGGCCGAACCCGGCGCGCUGGGGGCGCCCGGGGGCGCCGAGGCGAACCGUUUUGGCGCGAAACAGCCGCGGGCCCGCCGCGUCAGGGACACGGCUCUCUUCUCGCCCCUUCGUCGUCCUCAUCGCCUCGUUUCCCGCGGCGAAUCAAUGCCAAAGCUGCCGCGCGCCGUGCCGGUCAGCCUGCGCCAUUGAUGCCUCACGGGCGGCGCAGUGAAGACCGGAUGACGCGCGUCCCUCGCCCUCCAUCGCCCGCCACACGUACACAUGGCGGCACGCGCACGGGCGGCGCCUCGGCCUAUAUAAGACGCGCCCCAGCGCACUCGGCGACUCGCACUCUCUCGACGUCAUCGUUCCUUCCUCUCCUCUCUCCCGCCGUCUCCAGUUUAUCGCACCCAUGCCCGAGCGCUUCCCAGGCGACCGCGCGGCGGCGAACGACUUCGGCCGCCGCCAUGUUCACGAGGACGAGGCUCGCCUCCUUUUCGAGGCCGAGUACCCUGUCCCGCUGGACAUGCGGGUGCCCGGGGCGUGGAGGAUCAGCGCCGGCGGUGUGCCGGUGCCCCCGGUACCCACCGGCGCGGCGCGGCGUGCGGAGAUCGCACGCAUCCGCUCGUCCCUGCCGCGUGCGGCGAGGGAGGGGCCAGGAUACGUCCCCGACAGCCCGCUCUAGGAGCCCUAUUUCCGCUGCCGUCACGCCGAGCAGCUCGAGGCCACCAACGGCGUCGUGCCCUCCGGCAGGCUCAAGGCCGCCGGCCGGCGUCGGUGGUGGGGCGUGCCCGGGCGCACGUUGGAGGUUGUCCUCGAGUACAUCGAGGGCGGCAACACGCCACGCCUCGAGUACCCCACUCCCCCGUCCUUCUCACGCCGCCGGGGAAGCUCCUGGACGCCGAGGCGCAUGGUGACCGGGGGGUCCUCCUCCUCGUCCGGCGGCUCUCCCUGCCUCCACCUCCGCCCCGUCAAGCCGGAGCCCCAGGGCACGCCUGUCAGCGCGCGCACCCGCCGCUCCGGCUUCCGCAUCGGCGACAACGUCUCCCCCACCGGCCGCUUCGUCCUCGUCGAGCCCAAGCCGGAGCCCGGCCUCCCCGCGGAGUACGAGGAGAUAGCCUGGCGCGGCUUCUCCGACGAGGACGCCCUGCGGUGGGCGCGGGUCGACUACCUCCGCGACGAGAUGGUCCGGCAGCGCCGGGCCCUGGAGGAGAUCGCCGCCCGCAAGCGUGGGCGCGAGGACGAGCACGGCAUCGUGGUCCUCGACAGCGACGACGACGACGCCGCCCUCGGAACGUCCAACCCGCCGCGCCAACCGGGGGAGGGAUGCAGCAGGGAUGACGGAGGCGUAGGCGGGGGCGACGACGACGACGACGACGACGGCGGCGGUGACUACACGCGGUUCUACAGUCUCCUCGGCAUGUAGAACCGUGUGGGCGGGCGGCGAGGGAGACAGCGGGGGUAGCCUGCGGUAGUUUUUCAUUUUUUUGUAAAAUAUGUUUAAAUUUGAACGAACUCGUCCAUGUUUGCGUUGUGUUUGCGCCGAAUUUGAACACUUUAAAAACCCGUGGGGGGCCGCGAGUGGGGGGCAUCACGUCCCCAGUGCGCGGUUUAGCGCCGGUGCGCCCUCCAGAGAACGAUUUUUUGCCCCUCCUGAAAGGCGAACGGCUGGAAAUGCCCUUAGCUAUGCUAGCAUGCUCCGUCAACGGCUAAAGAAUGGUGGCCGGAAUCUUUGUGGUUGUGCAUGAGAGAGCGUGCCAUGCAUUGCAUGCCGUAGCAGUACAGUCGCGUGCCACGAGGCGAACGCGACUAGGAGUCCGUAUGCCAGGCGCCCGUGCGCAUGGAUAUGGAUUGGAAUUGGGUCCGAAACCACGGCCAGAUGCAUGCGUGCGUAUACGCUGCUGCGUCUGUAAUUUUAUGUACAGUACAAACCGUGUCCGUGUGUACGCGAUGGCCCGCGCGUCGUGGAUCGCGUGGAAGGAAACGCAAGGCAAGGUCGUCGUCGGCGUCCUUGUCACCGCCGUCAAUUUCCUUUUUGUCUUUCCACUAGCCGAUCCGCCCAAUCGCCGUCGCUGGAUCAUGCAUGGAUUGGACAAAGAGAGGAAGAAUAUGAGGAGCCGAGGAGGAAGAUUGGGUGCUCACACCAAGGAGAAAUCAAUACUAGUACUAGUAAAACGGCGCCGUAGACCUCACGCCCAUCCGUCCGUGUACGUAACAGCUAGGAUCUCCUAUCUACGUCCAGUAGCAGUGUAGUCUACCAAUCAAUCAAACCGAACCGAACCGGAAACGAAUGGGCUGCGCGUUCACUUUUGGGUGGUUUGGUUUCCAUGGCUGUCAUGUCAUUCCCAGGGUUAUUUACAUGCGGUGUAUGUCUGCUUCUGCCCGUUUGGUUAGUGGUUAGUUGGGCAAGUGUCCUGACCUGAGCUAGCUAUAAAUACGGGCGGGUCAAAGCAGGAGCCUCCAAAGGUGGCUGUGGCUCACACACACACACACACACACGCAGAGACAAGAGACAAGAGACAGCGAGUCAGACCAGGCCAUAGGGAAUCCCGCGCGCGGGGCGGGCGACGACUGAGGCGGAGAUCCCUUCCGGCCGGCCGCCGCCGCUCGUGGACACCGACCAACAUAGGUACGUACGCCGAUGGCCGCGGCGGGGCUCCUCCCCCCUCCCCCUGCAUGCAUGCAGUCCCAUGGCUGGCUAUAUCUCUGAAUUAAUCACUGCAUCUUCUAUCAGGGUGUGUUUCUUUCUGUGGUCUGUCUGUAACAGAGAUAUAUCGGGACAACGGGAAAAUAUUAUUAGUUGCGUGUGCGUGGUUUUGUUCCCGGGAGGUCAAUGUGACGGACACCGGGACACGGACUACUCACACUCAUAGCCAUAGGUCAUCCAUCUCCAAUCACUCAAUCGACCAAUAAUUAAGCAAGUGUCAUGUGAAGACGCGAUAUGCAAUCGAAGGGGACCUGCUGCAUCGUCACGUUUCUGGGCCGGAGCUUGGGAGUCCACGGCACGGCACGGCACGGAGACGCAGAGCCAUGGUGGGCAUGCAUAAAGCCAGUGGAGUUCAUACGGCCAGCUAUUGCUCAAUAUUAAUACUAGGUGGAGGCGAAGCCAAAGGGCAUCUAUCUGCAAGAGAUUGUUCAUGAUCGAAACCACGUUCUGUUGACUGGAAUAUUUCUGUCGUCACCAUCAUCAACGGAAAAGUAGUACUACAGUAUUUUUCAGAUACCUGCAAGAGUACUAGUACGUGUGCUUAGUUUUUUUUCUCGACAGGUCAAUGUGAGGGACUCACUCAUAGGCCAUCCAUCUCCCAUCAACCGAAUCAGCUUGCAGAUCCCUGUAGUAGGAGUAUUUUUAUUUGUUAAUCGAGUGUCAUGUGAAGACGCGAUACGCAAUCCCUGCAGCGUCACGUUUUUUGGAUGGGAGCAUCGCAGUCCAUGCAUGCCACGGAGACGCAGAGAGACAGAGAGAGAGAGAGAGAGAGAGNNNNNNNNNNNNNNNNNNNNNNNNNNNNNNNNNNNNNNNNNNNNNNNNNNNNNNNNNNNNNNNNNNNNNNNNNNNNNNNNNNNNNNNNNNNNNNNNNNNNNNNNNNNNNNNNNNNNNNNNNNNNNNNNNNNNNNNNNNNNNNNNNNNNNNNNNNNNNNNNNNNNNNNNNNNNNNNNNNNNNNNNNNNNNNNNNNNNNNNNNNNNNNNNNNNNNNNNNNNNNNNNNNNNNNNNNNNNNNNNNNNNNNNNNNNNNNNNNNNNNNNNNNNNNNNNNNNNNNNNNNNNNNNNNNNNNNNNNNNNNNNNNNNNNNNNNNNNNNNNNNNNNNNNNNNNNNNNNNNNNNNNNNNNNNNNNNNNNNNNNNNNNNNNNNNNNNNNNNNNNNNNNNNNNNNNNNNNNNNNNNNNNNNNNNNNNNNNNNNNNNNNNNNNNGAGAGAGAGGGGUAGUGUCGUUGUCGCGGUGGGAAACCAGGCAGCCAGCGGGGCACGUCUCGCCGGACGCCGGUCUCGCGGUGCGCGUCGUCGUCGUCUCUGGCUAUAAAUACCGGCCGGGUGGGAGCAGGAGCCUCCAAAGCCAAAGGCAAAGCCAAACACAUUGGUCUCUCACACAAACACAUUGGUCGCGCACGCACACGGGCUGACAGCCACAGAGCGGGCGGGCGAGGGAGGGAGUUCGGAGGACAGCAGAGGGCCGGAUCCGAUCCCCGCCGGCCGUCGCGCCAAGGUACGUAUAUAUAUAUAUACUAGUAUAACUGAUACAGAUUUCCCCUCCGCCUUCUAGAAAGAGAUCCGACGUUGAAAGGUGGGUGAUUCAGAUUCAGAUACUUGUGGUGUGGUGUUGAAACAUGCCUGCCAAAACUCGAGUCAGACAGCACGGGCGUCUUCCUCACGUCCGGCUCGCACCCCCCGCCUUGCAUAAACUCCUUUCCGGCGUCACCCGCAAAAAAAAAAAAAAACUCCUUUCCGGCGGCAAAUAUACCCAAUUAAUCUACUCCGUCAUAGUACAGCUACCAGUAGUAAUUAAGUAGCACGCGUAAUAAAAUGGCAGCUCCAGCCAAUACAGUAGACCGGUGUCCUUGCCCUUUGUAGACAGACAGGAGCUGAUUGAUUGCGUGUUUGACAGUAGAGUAGUACGUAAUUAAUUGGCUGGUCAAGACCAUGUAUCAACGGAAUUGUAUAGUUUUCUAUACCAAGGUCAGUGUCACUGGCUCACUCAUAGUAUGCCAUCCACGCAAACCAAACCAAAGCAAUCAGUAAUGUGAACUCACUGUCCUUGGCAACCCGUCAUGUGCAUAUCAUUAUCAAUAACCCGCCCCCUAUUCCUUGCUCCGUCACGUCGGCCGGUCUCCUUGUCGACGGACCUCAACGUCUUUGGACGGGAGCAGCAAGAGCAUAUGAAUGAUAUUUUCUUGCCUGUUGUCGUGGACGGACGCAGAGGCAGCCAACUGACACGUCGUCCUUCUCGGCGCCGCGCCGUGGGGACGAACGAGAACACGCCGCUCGCUGCCUCUCGUUUUGGUCCCGUUCCGUGCCCGGAGAGCAGAGCAUGCACGUCGGCGUCGCACCGUCACUGUUGCGUGCGCGUGAUUUCUGUCCGACUGCUACCAGUUGUGGAAUUAAUUAUGUAUUCCACUGAGCUGGGCUAAUCAAACGUCUAACCGUGACACGAGCUAAUAAUAGCGUCUGUGUGAAAGAGCUAGCGUGAUCACACGCACGCAGCCAUCGGUUGCUUGGUUUUCACCCGCACCUCUGCACACCCAAGCAAAAGCGAUAUAAGUACUAGUACUACGUACUGUCGAUUUACGUAUACUAGUGUUGUCUGAAUUUGAUGUACACAUGCAUGAGGUCGUCAGUCGGAGCAGCUCACUUUAUUUAGAGACAUACUCCCUCCGUCUGGUUGAAGAGUGUACAUCUAGAAAUUUUAGGACAAUAUAUGAACUUGUGUAAAAAAUACAUUGAAAAGGUGCAAGCCACCGUCUUUCUCCUCUUUAAUUACCCAACCCUCAAUGAGCUAAGUGCAUGUAGAAAUUAAAAAGACCAUGUGUAGAUUGCUAUUGGUCUUGAUUACCGUGUGAUGAUAGAGAAAAUAUUUUUUCCUACUUUAAAGUGCAUUGGGAAGAUAGAAAUACAUUCUUUUGUGGAUAAAUUUUAAAACUAGAUGUACACUUUUCACCGGACAUAGGGAAGCAACAAUGCGGCAUUAUCUGAUCUUGGGAGACACCUUUCACUUUCACAUGCUUGGUUGCAACAUACUACCACAGUAAUACGUAGUACUUAUAAAGUAGUACAAAGUUUUUUUUUUACAAUAACAGAAAGUGUAAAGUUAGUAAGAGUACUACAAUACCCGCGGACUGAAGACUGAGUGGUCAAGAACAAGAAUAUAGGACCUGGAAGUGAAAUGAUAGGCUGGCCCAUGCUUAGAGCAUCUCCAACAGGCGCCUAAAAAGAGCUCCGCGCGUUAAAAAGUUGUUUUUUUGGGCGCCGAACAACUUCAACAGAAGUUGCAAAAUUAUGCGCGCGCUAAAAACUUUUGGGCACACGCUGAAAAAUGCCAUCGCGCGCAUCAUAUUUUGCGCUUCGGAUUGGGCGCGCUUCACAAUUUACACUGCGUGCUUUUUUGGGCGCACGGUUUUGGGCAUCUGCUAAAGCAAUGUUGGUCCCGGCGCACUAAAAAUGCUACAAUGACGGUAUAAAUUUUUUUGGGCGGCCGUUGGAGAUGCUCUUAUCAUUCAUAGGGACCAGUAGUAGCAUCGUCUCUCUUUCCCGCAAAAAAAAAAGUUUCAUCAUCUCUCUCAUCCACGAGAGUAGGCAGAGUGCCUGCCGCUUAAACAAGUCAAUAACAAUGAUUUUAGCGAGGAAGAUGCUCUCCCUCCUUUGAUUAUAAAAAAAACUCCUCACUCGUUUUGCUCCGAGGAUGAUUCCCCACACCACCACGCUGCCACCAGGCACCCCACCCCAAGAGGGAAGAUUGAUCGGAUCAGUAUUCGUGGCUGGCUGGCUGGCCACCUCUGUCCGCCACCAGUUUCAGCCUCUCCUCUGUGAUGCAGCCAGCCACAUGAGCCGCCAUUGUUUCUCGACGGAGAAGAACCCACGCGCAGCCAAAGCACCCGUCGUCUCUCUUUCUUUCUAGUCGUGGAAAAGUAGGUAGGUGGCGGUCCUUUCUAGUCGUUUGUUCUUGAUUUGCAAUUCCCAUUUCUUUGAGAUUUUAUUAUCCAAAAGCAUGUGGCUCUUCUUGCUAAGAUUCAUCACAAGUUCCACCCUUAAUUACUGUCAAUAAUAAAUCUUCACCACCCUAUUAAUCACUGUCAAUAAAAACACUUGCAGGAAGCAGCAGUUCCUCUGAGCCGCUGCCGCUGCAGUGCCUAGUCUGACUGAGCGGCGAGAAAGAAGCAAGGCCAGCAGCCAUGGGGGAGGUCGCGGCGGAGAUGUACACCCAGGAUGGCACCGUCGACAUCAAGGGCAACCCGGCCCUCAAGAAGGACACCGGCAACUGGCGCGCAUGCCCCUACAUCCUCGGUACACACGCGCACGACUCCAUUGCUGCUCUGUUUUCAUGCUCUGCUUCGGUUCAUGGCGCUCAUGGCGUCAAGGUGUUUGAUUGAUCGGGUUGCAUGCAGCGAACGAGUGCUGCGAGCGGCUGGCCUACUAUGGCAUGAGCACCAACCUGGUCAACUUCAUGAAGGACCGGAUGGGCAUGGCCAACGCCGCCGCCGCCAACAACGUCACCAACUGGGGCGGCACCUGCUACAUCACGCCGCUCAUCGGCGCCUUCCUCGCCGACGCCUACCUCGGCCGCUUCUGGACCAUCGCCUCCUUCAUGAUCAUCUACAUCUUCGGCCUCGGCCUGCUCACCAUGGCCACCUCCGUGCACGGCCUCGUGCCGACCUGCGCCGCCAAGGGCGUCUGCGACCCCACGCCGGGCCAGUCGGCGGCCGUCUUCAUCGCGCUCUACCUCAUCGCGCUCGGCACCGGCGGGAUCAAGCCCUGCGUGUCGUCGUUCGGGGCGGACCAGUUCGACGAGCACGACGACGUGGAGCGCAAGAGCAAGAGCUCCUUCUUCAACUGGUUCUACUUCUCCAUCAACAUCGGCGCGCUGGUGGCCUCGUCCGUGCUCGUGUACGUGCAGACGCAUGUCGGCUGGAGCUGGGGCUUCGGCAUCCCCGCCGUCGUCAUGGCCAUCGCCGUCGGCAGCUUCUUCGUCGGCACGCCGCUCUACAGGCACCAGCGCCCCGGCGGCAGCCCGCUCACCCGCAUCGCGCAGGUGCUCGUCGCCGCCACGCGCAAGCUCGGCGUCACCGUCGACGGGUCGGCGCUGUACGAGACCGCGGACAGGGAGUCCGGCAUCGAGGGGAGCCGCAAGCUGGAGCACACUGAGCAGUUGAGGUUCCUCGACAAGGCGGCCGUCGAGACGCAGGCGGACAAGACGGCGGCCACCGGGCCGUCGCCGUGGCGGCUGUGCACCGUGACGCAGGUGGAGGAGCUCAAGAGCGUGGUGCGGCUGCUGCCCAUCUGGGCGAGCGGCAUCGUCUUCGCCACGGUGUAUGGGCAGAUGAGCACCAUGUUCGUGCUCCAGGGAAACACCCUGGACGCCUCCAUUGGGCCCAAGUUCAAGAUCCCCUCCGCCUCGCUCUCCAUCUUCGACACCCUCAGCGUCAUCGCCUGGGUGCCCGUCUACGACCGCCUCCUCGUCCCCGCCGUGCGCUCCGUCACCGGCCAGCCCCGCGGCUUCACGCAGCUCCAGCGCAUGGGCAUCGGCCUCGUCGUCUCCAUGUUCGCCAUGCUCGCCGCCGGCGUGCUCGAGCUCGUCCGCCUCCGCACCAUCGCGCAGCGCGGCCUCUACGGCGAGAAGGACGUGGUGCCCAUCUCCAUCUUCUGGCAGGUGCCGCAGUACUUCAUCAUCGGCGCCGCCGAGGUCUUCACCUUCGUGGGCCAGCUCGAGUUCUUCUACGACCAGGCGCCCGACGCCAUGAGGAGCAUGUGCUCCGCGCUCUCCCUCACCACCGUCGCGCUCGGGAACUACCUCAGCACGCUGCUCGUCACCGUCGUGGCCAAGCUCACCACCAGGGGAGGCAAGCAAGGGUGGAUCCCCGACAACCUCAACGUCGGCCACCUCGACUACUUCUUCUGGCUGCUCGCCGCGCUCAGCCUCCUCAACUUCGCCGUCUACCUCCUCAUCGCCAGCUGGUACACCUACAAGAAGACCGCCGGAGAUGACACAGACGCCAAAGCCAAAGGAGGCGCUGAUGAUUGAUGCAAAUGACCAGUGAGUGAGUGACUCUGCCUGGGGUUGGUGUAUGAAUGUUGAAAGAGGAAGAAGAAAGCAAGGAUUGAGACUUCAGAGUUCAGAUAGGUGAAAUUAAGGGAGGACAAUGAAAUGCAUGGUGUGAUUUGUGACUUGAAGAUUCAAGAGUGUUGCCUUGUUGAUUAAUAUACUAGUGUCUUGGAAAAAUCUGUCAGAAAAAGGUUCAGAUGUUAUGUACUGCUCCCUCCUUAAAGAAACAUAAAGCCUUUAGAUUACUAAAAUAGCAAUCUAAACGUUUUUAUAUUUCUUUACAGAGGGAGUACUUUAUUAAUUUGGCGUGCAAUGCGACCCAAAGUUUCUACAGAGAUGAGUAGAGAUAUUAUAAGAGUUUUAACUUUUUUUACAGCAUGGUUCAUAAACAUCACUGAGGGAGUCCUGGAUUAGGGGUGUUCGGGUAGUCGGACUAUACCUUCAGCCGGACUCCUGGACUAUGAAGAUAUAAGAUUGAAGAGUUCGUCCCGUGUCCGGAUGGGACUUUUCUUACCGUGGAAGGCAAGCUUGGCGAUGCGGAUAUUCAAGAUCUCCCACCAUUGUAACCGACUCUAUGUAACCUUAACCCUAUCCGGUGUCUAUAUAAACCGGAGGGUUGUAGUCCGUAGGACAUCAACUCUAUAUACAACAAUCAUACCAUAGGCUAGCUUCUAGGGUUUAGCCUCCUUGAUCUCGCGGUAGAUCUACUCUUGUACUACCCAUAUCAUCAAUAUUAAUCAAGCAGGACGUAGGGUUUUACCUCCAUCGAGAGGGCCCGAACCUGGGUAAAACAUCGUGUUCCCUGCCUCCUGUUACCAUCCGGCCUAGACGCACAGUUCGGGACCCCCUACCCGAGAUUCGCCGGUUUUGACACCGACAUUGGUGUUUUCAUUGAGAGUUCCUCUGUGUCGUCGCCUUUAGGCCCGAUGGCUCCUUCGAUCAUCAAUAACAAUACGGUCCAGGGUGAGACCUUUCUCCCCGGACAGAUCUUCGUCUUCGGCGGCUUCGCUCUGCGGGCCAAUUCGCUUGGCCACUUGGAGCAGAUCGAAAGCUACGCCCCUGGCCAUCAAGUCAGGUUUGGAAGCUUAAACUACACGGCUGACAUCCGCGGAGACUUGAUCUUCGACGGGUUCGAGCCACGGCCAAGCGCGCCGCACUAUCUCGAGGGGCAUGAUCUAGCUCUGCCUCCGGACAGUGUCCUGGAGGCCACACACGCAUCGGUUCCGACCCCUAACUCGGAGCCUAUUGCGCCAAUCGAGGACGAGCGGUUGGACGUCACCUCGGGGGCUGCGAUCUCAAAGGCGACCGAGCCGAACGCUAGCCCCGCACUCUGCACGACCCGUGACUCCGAGGAUCCGGACUCCUCUCCGGACUCCGAACCCCCCGCGCCCCUGCCAAUCGAAUCCGAUUGGGCGCCGAUAAUGGAGUUCAACCGCCGCAGACAUCUUUCAGCACUCGCCUUUUGGCGAUAUCCUGAAUUCUCUUAAGUCUCUCUCUUUAUCAGGAGAGCCCUGGCCGGACUACGGUCAGCGAGGGUGGGAUACGGACGAUGAAGAAAUUCAAAGCCCACCCACCACCCACUUUGUAGCCACUGUCGACGAUUUAACCGAUAUGCUUGACUUCGGCUCCGAAGACAUCGACGGCAUGGACGAUGAUGUAGGAGACGAACAGGAACCAGCACCUGUAGGGCGCUGGAAGGCCACCUCGUCAUAUGACAUAUAUAUGGUGGAUACUCCAAAAGAUGGAGACGGCGAUGGAACAGUGGGAGAUGACACCUCCAAGAAACAGCCAAAGCGCCGGCGCCAGCGGCGCCGCUCUAAAUCCCGCCAAAGCAAAAACGGUGAUUCCGGCAUGGGAGAUAAUACUACCCCGGAUAGCGCCGAAGAACACUCACCUCAGCAAGAUUCGGCAUAGGAAGAUGGAGAAGCCAGCCCUCAUGAGGGAGCGGCAGACCGAGAGGUCGAGGAUGAUAACUACAUGCCUCCCUCCGAAGACGAGGCAAGCCUCGAUGACGACGAAUUCGUCAUACCAUCAGACCCCGCCGAACAAGAGCGUUUUAAACGCAGGCUUUUAGCCACAGCAAGCAGCCUCAAGAAAAAGCAGCAACAGCUUAGAGCUGCCCAAGAUUUGCUAGCUGACAGAUGGACUGAAGUCCUUGCGGCCGAAGAGUAUGAACUCGAACGCCCCUCCAAGAGUUACCCAAAGCGUAGGCCGCUACCCCGAUCAGAGGAGGAAGCACCUACAUCACCAGCGCAUGACAUGGCAGACCGGCCACCUCGCGGCCGUGACAGAGAGGCCUCUCGGCCCUCCAUCCAAGCCAUGCCCCGACGCCGCUCAACUAAGGCACGGGAAAAUGCGCCAGACCUGCGAGACGUACUGGAGGAUAAGGCAAGACAAACAAGAUCGAUCUACGGAUCGCGCAGGCGCCCUAUGGCACGUGACGAUGAUCUUCACUCCGGAUACAACAAAUCCGGUCGGGCCGAACACAACAGACAUAGCUCUUCUGAGCUGCGUCGUGAUAUAGCCCAAUACAGAGGCGCCGCACACCCGCUAUGCUUCACGAAUGACGUAAUGGAUCAUAAAAUCCCAGAGGGUUUCAAACCCGUAAACAUCGAAUCAUACGAUGGCACAACAGAUCCGACGGUAUGGAUCGAGGAUUAUCUCCUUCACAUCCACAUGGCACGCGGCGAUGAUCUACACGCCAUCAAAUACCUCCCGCUCAAACUUAAAGGACCGGCCCGACAUUGGCUUAACAGCUUGCCAGCAGACUCAAUCGGUUCUUGGGAGGACCUGGAAGCCGCAUUCCUCGACAACUUCCAGGGCACUUACGUGCGACCACCGGAUGCUGACGACUUAAGCCACAUAAUUCAGCAGCAAGAGGAAUCGGCGAGACAAUUCUGGACACGGUUCCUAACAAAGAAAAACCAGAUAGUCGACUCUCCGGAUGCAGAGGCUCUAGCAGCCUUCAAGCAUAACAUCCGCGACGUAUGGCUUGCCCGGCACCUGGGACAGGAAAAGCCGAAAUCUAUGGCAGCCCUCACGACACUCAUGACCCGCUUUUGCGCGGGAGAAGACAGCUGGCUAGCUCGCAGUAACAACUUAACAAAGAACCCUGGUAAUUCGGAUACCAAGGACAAAAGUGGCAGGACACGUCGGAAUAAGCAAAAACGCCGCGUUAGCAGCGACAGCAAUGAAGACACGACAGUCAAUGCCAGAUUCAAAGGCUAUAAAUCCGGUCAGCAGAAAAAGCCAUUCAAAAAGAAUACUCAGGGCCCGUCCAGUUUGGACCGAAUACUCGAUCGCUUGUGCUAGAUACAUGGCACCCCCGAAAGGCCAGCCAAUCACACUAACAGGGAUUGUUGGGUGUUCAAGCAGGCAUGCAAGUUAAGGGCCGAAAACAGAGACAAGGGGCCACACAGCGACGACGAGGAGGAGCCCAAGCCGCCGAACAACAAUGGACAGAAGGGCUUUCCCCCACAAGUGCGGACGGUGAACAUGAUAUACGCAACCCACAUUCCCAAGCGGGAGCGGAAGCGUGCGCUACGGGACGUAUACGCGAUGGAGCCAGUCGCCCCAAAGUUCAACCCAUGGUCCUCCUGCCCGAUCACUUUUGAUCGAAGGGACCAUCCCACUAGCAUCUGUCAUGGCGGCUUCGCCGCAUUGGUUCUCGACCCAAUCAUCGACGGAUUUCAUCUUACAAGAGUCCUCAUGGACGGUGGCAGUAGCCUGAACCUACUUUAUCAAGAUACAUUGCGGAAAAUGGGCAUAGCUCCCUCAAGGAUUAAGCCCACAAAAAUGACCUUUAAAGGCGUUAUACCAGGUGUAGAAGCCAACUGUAUAGGCUCAGUAACACUUGACGUGGUCUUCGGAUCCCCGGACAAUUUCCGAAGCGAAGAGUUAAUUUUCGAUAUAGUCCCGUUUCGCAGUGGCUAUCACGCCCUACUCGGACGAACCGCAUUCGCAAAGUUCAAUGCGGUGCUGCACUACGCAUAUCUCAAGCUCAAGAUGCCAGGCCCUCGAGGAGUAAUCACGGUCAACAACGGAAACACCGAACGCUCCCUCCGUACGGAGGAGCACAUGGCGGCUCUCGUAGCGGAGGUACAAAGUAGCCUUCUCAGGCAAUUCUCUAGUCCGGCCAUUAAAAAGCUAGACACUGCCAAGCGCGCCCGGAGUAACCCACAGCAGGACCGCUUGGCACACUCUGAGCAAGCGUAGCAAUGCGGCCCCAACCCCAGCUCUCGCGACAUAGCGAAACCAGUACCUCGCGUACAUAACUACGCCCUCGAAAUACCAUGGGCACAGGGGAAGGGGCACAAUAACGGCAUGCCCAAAAUACGGCUUAAAACGUACUAGGGGCUGCCGGAUUCUUUUUUAAAUUUUUUCUUACUUUCAGGACUCCAUACUUCGGACGACCUGUUCGGCAGUUCGACUGCCGCACAAACGAUGCAAGAUCCAGGAAGGCAGACAAGCCAUGCCGCAUUAUGGAACUCCCAGGUGGUCUCUGUUACGAGCGAUAUACCUGUUUUAAAUACUAUUCCGCGGCCUGCCCCUGGUCAGGACAUAGUAAAUAGUCCAAUAUCUUUUGCUUACCGCACUAUUUGUAUCGUUCGGCUUUGAUAAAUAGCCUCUCUAUAAACAAUGCAUAGCUUUCUGUCUAUUUUUUGCAUUAUCUUCUUUUCACAUAUAUGUUUAUCAAAUGACAUGAUUGCACCCGUACACCAUGGUACGGCAAACACGCCAGGGGCUUCAGUACCCCUCAUAAUGGUGUGAGAAGUCCGUACACUUUCACAAGUGCGGCACCUGAACUUAUAGCACUAUAUGCAUCGGCUCCGAAUCAUGAUUUGGGUCAAUAGUUGGGUUUGCCCGGCUGCUAUGUUUUGGUGCCUUACGUUCCGCUCUAUCGGCUAAGGUAGCACUAGGAGAACCACUGCGAUUGUGCCCCGGUUCAGCUAAGUUAAGCACCUCAGUGGAGAAAGCUAAAACUGACUGUCAUGAUGUGGCGAGAGACCGGUCGCUGUUCGAGAGGUUUUUCGAGUCCCUAAAGGCUUAUGCCGCUUCGAGCGAGGAGCUGGCUUUGUCCGGCCAAGGCGUGGAUAGCGCCCCGAACUCGGUCUUUCGAACUAGGGGCUUCGCCGAAAUUUAAAAUUAUAGAGUUCUAUGGCUAAGUGAGAGUGUUCAAGCAUUAUAGUCCGAUUUCUUGGUUCAUUGUGCUGAGCGCCUCCCUCGAAGGACCCAACUAUGGGAAAAAGAGCGCUCAGGUUUAUCCCGAACACCCCAGCACUACUGGCAUGGGGGCAGAAGCCGACGACUGGCCAUCUCUCAAUUUUUGAUAAACGGCCGCACAGAAAGUAAUAUUUUAAAUUCAAUAAGCAUUGCUUAGCGCAUAUGAACAAGUUUUUAGCGCACAGGAUAAACACGAGCGAGUUCAUUCAAAAAUCACAUCCUUGGUACAUUCAUCCGCCACAAGGCGGGCACCUGCAAGAACAUCCUUGUAGUAGUUCUCGGGCUUGCGAUGCUCCUUUCCCGGCGGCGGCCCGUCCUUCACAAGCUUCUCACCGUCCAGCUUACCCCAGUGCACCUUUGCACGGGCAAGGGCCCGACGGGAACCUUCGAUGCAGACGGAGUGCUUGAUGACCUCGAGCCUCGGACAGGCCUCCACUAGCCGCCGCACCAGCCUGAAAUAGCUCCCAGGCAGGGCCUCUCCGGGCCACAGCCGAACUAUGAAGCCCUUCAUGGCCUGCUCGGCCGCCUUGUGGAGCUCGACCAACUGUUGCAGCUGGUCGCUCAAGGGCACAGGGUGUCCGGCCUCAGAAUACUGAGACUAGAGCACCUUCUCUGUCGAGCUACCCUCUUCAGCUCGGUAGAAUGCGGCAGCGUCGGAUACGCUGCGGGGAAGAUCUGCGAAUGUCCCUGGAGAGCUCCGGAUCCGGGUAAGUAACAAGUAGUUCACUUUUAUAUUUCUGCUUUGCAUAAAGAAUGCCUUACCCGCUGCUAUCUUCCUCAUCUCCUCCAACUCUUGGAGGGCCUUUUGGGCUUCGGCCUUGGCAGACUUGGCAGCCUCUAGGGCCGUCGCGAGCUCGGAUGCUUGCGCCUUUGACUCAAGCUCCAAACUCUCAUGUUUUUUCAUGAGAGCCCGAAGCUCUUGCUGCACCUCGCCGACCUGAGCCCCAAGUCUGUCUCGCUCGGUGCGCUCCGCGGCCCUUUUCUUUUCGGCCUCAGACAGCGCCUGCUUAAGGGUCGCCUGAAGGAAAUAUGCCCUAGAGGCAAUAAUAAAGUUAUUAUUUAUUUCCUUAUAUCAUGAUGAAUGUUUAUUAUUCAUGCUAGAAUUGUAUUAACCGGAAACAUAAUACAUGUGUGAAUACAUAGACAAACAGAGUGUCACUAGUAUGCCUCUACUUGACUAGCUCGUUAAUCAAAGAUGGUUAUGUUUCCUAACCAUAGACAAAAGAGUUGUUAUUUGAGUAACGAGGUCACAUCAUUAGUUGAAUGAUCUGAUUGACAUGACCCAUUCCAUUAGCUUAGCACCUGAUCGUUUAGUAUGUUGCUAUUGCUUUCUUCAUGACUUAUACAUGUUCCUAUAACUAUGAGAUUAUGCAACUCCCGUUUGCCGGAGGAACACCUUGGGUGCUACCAAACGUCACAACGUAACUGGGUGAUUAUAAAGGAGCAUUACAGGUGUCUCCAAAAGUAGAUGUUGGGUUGGCGUAUUUCGAGAUUAGGAUUUGUCACUCCGAUUGUCGGAGAGGUAUCUCUGGGCCCUCUCGGUAAUGCACAUCACAUAAGCCUUGCAAGCACUGCAACUAAUAUGUUAGUUGUGAGAUGAUGUAUUACGGAACAAGUAAAGAGACUUGCCAGUAACGAGAUUGAACUAGGUAUUGGAUACCGACGAUCGAAUCUCGGGCAAGUAACAUACCGAUGACAAAGGGAACAACGUAUGUUGUUAUGCGGUCUGACCGAUAAAGAUCUUCGUAGAAUAUGUAGGAGCCAAUAUGGGCAUCCAGGUCCCGCUAUUCGUUAUUGACCGGAGACGUGUCUCGGUCAUGUCUACAUUGUUCUCGAACCCGUAGGGUCCGCACGCUUAAGGUUACGAUGACAGUUAUAUUAUGAGUUUACAUGUUUUGAUGUACCGAAGGAGUUCGGAGUCCCGGAUGAGAUUGGGGACAUGACGAGGAGUCUCGAAAUGUUCGAGACGUAAAGAUUCAUAUAUUGGAUGAUAUGGUUAGGCCAAGGGGUCAAGCCCAUGAGGCUUUAGAUCGGUGCAAAAGGAGUUUUGCGGAGUCCAGGGGGCCAAACGCCGGAGACCCUGGCGUCUGGCCCUGGGCCAGACACCGAGGCCCAUGGCGUCUGGGCCAGACGCCAAGGAUUGUGGCGUUUGGUCCUGGAGUCCGAGUGGGACUCUUGCCUUUCGGGAAAAACCGACUUUGAGGAGGCUUUUGCUCCAAGUUUCGACCCCGGGGCUCAACAUAUAAAUAGAGGGGCAGGGCUAGCACCAAAGACACAACAAUUGAUCCCUUGGAUCUCUUAGCCGUGUGCGGUGCCCCCCUCCACCAUAGUCCACCUCGAUAAUAUCGUAGCGGUGCUUAGGCGAAGCCCUGCGACGGUAGAACAUCAAGAUCGUCACCACGCCGUCGUGCUGACGGAACUCUCCCUCGACACUCGGCUGGAUCGGAGUUCGAGGGACGUCAUCGAGCUGAACGUGUGCUAGAACUCGGAGGUGCCGUAGUUUCGGUGCUUGAUCGGUCGGGCCGUGAAGACGUACGACUACAUCAACCGCGUUGUGCUAACGCUUCCGCUUACGGUCUACAAGGGUAUGUAGACAACACUCUCCCCUCUCAUUGCUAUACAUCACCAUGAUCUUGCGUGUGCGUAGGAAAUUUUUGAAAUUACUACGAAACCCAACAGUGGUAUCAGAGCCUAGGUUACUUAUGUUGAUGUUAUAUGCACGAGUAGAACACAAGUGAGUUGUGGACGAUACAAGUCAUACUGCCUACCAGCAUGUCAUACUUUGGUUCGGCGGUAUUGUUGGACGAGACGACCCGGACCAACCUUACGCGUACGCUUACGCGAGACCGGUUCCCUCGACGUGCUUUGCACAUAGAUGGCUUGCGGGCGACUGUCUCUCCAACUUUAGUUGAACCGAGUAUGGCUACGCCCGGUCCUUGAGAAGGUUAAAACGGAGUCUAUUUGACAAACUAUCGUUGUGGUUUUGAUGCGUAGGUGAGAUUGGUUCUUACUUAAGCCCGUAGCAGCCACGUAAAACAUGCAACAACAAAGUAGAGGACGUCUAACUUGUUUUUGCAGGGCAUGUUGUGAUGUGAUAUGGUCAAAGCAUGAUGCUGAAUUUUAUUGUAUGAGAUGAUCAUGUUUUGUAACCGAGUUAUCGGCAACUGGCAGGAGCCAUAUGGUUGUCUCUUUAUUGUAUGCAAUGCAAUCGCGAUGUAAUGCUUUACUUUAUUACUAAACGGUAGUGAUAGUCGUGGAAGCAUAAGAUUGGCGAGACGACAACGAUGCUACGAUGGAGAUCAAGGUGUCGCGCCGGUGACGGUGGUGAUCAUGACGGUGCUUUGGAGAUGGAGAUCACAAGCACAAGAUGAUGAUGGCCAUAUCAUAUCACUUAUAUUGAUUGCAUGUGAUGUUUAUCUUUUUAUGCAUCUUAUCUUGCUUUGAUUGACGGUAGCAUUAUAAGAUGAUCUCUCACUAAAUUAUCAAGAAGUGUUCUCCCUGAGUAUGCACCGUUGCCAAAGUUCGUCGUGCCCAGACACCACGUGAUGAUCGGGUGUGAUAAGCUCUACGUCCAUCUACAACGGGUGCAAGCCAGUUUUGCACACGCAGAAUACUCAGGUUAAACUUGACGAGCCUAGCAUAUACAGAUAUGGCCUCGGAACACGGAGACCGAAAGGUCGAGCGUGAAUCAUAUAGUAGAUAUGAUCAACAUAACGAUGUUCACCAUUGAAAACUACUCCAUCUCACGUGAUGAUCGGUCAUGGUUUAGUUGAUUUGGAUCACGUAAUCACUUAGAGGAUUAGAGGGAUGUCUAUCUAAGUGGGAGUUCUUAAAUAAUAUGAUUAAUUGAACUUUAAUUUAUCAUGAACUUAGUCCUGGUAGUAUUUUGCAAAUUAUGUUGUAGAUCAAUAGCUCGCGUUGUUGCUUCCCUAUGUUUAUUUUGAUAUGUUCCUAGAGAAAAUCAUGUUGAAAAAUGUUAGUAGCAAUGAUGCGGAUUGGAUCCGUGAUCUGAGGUUUAUCCUCAUUACUGCACAGAAGAAUUAUGUCCUUGAUGCACCGCUAGGUGACGGACCUAUUGCAGGAGCAGAUGCAGACGUUAUGAACGUUUGGCUAGCUCAAUAUGAUGACUACUUGAUAGUUUAGUGCACAGUGCUUAAUGGCUUAGAAUCGGGACUUCAACGAUGUUUUGAACGUCAUGGAGCAUAUGAGAUGUUCCAGGAGUUGAAGUUAAUAUUUCAAGCAAAUACCCGAGUUGAGAGAUAUGUAGUCUCCAACAAGUUCUAUAGCUAAAAGAUGGAGGAGAAUCGCUCAACUAGUGAGCAUGUGCCCAGAUUGUCUGAGUACAACAAUCGCUUGAAUCAAGUGGGAGUUAAUCUUCCAGAUAAGAUAGUGAUUGACAGAAUUCUCUAGUCACCAUCACCAAGUUAGUAGAACUUCGUGAUGAACUAUGAUAUGCAAGGGAUAACGGAAACAAUUCCCAAGCUCUUCGUAAUGCGGAAAUUGACGAAGGUAGAAAUCGAGAAAAACAUCAAGUGUUGAUGGUAGACAAGACCACUAGUUUCAAGAAAAGGGCAGAGGGAAGAAGGGGAACUUCAAAUAGAAUGGCAAGCAAGUUGCUGCUCAAGUGAAGAAGCCCAAGUCUGGUCCUGAGCCUGAGACUAAGUGUUUCUACUGCAAAGGGACUGGUCACUGGAAGCGGAACUACCCCAAGUGAUUGGCAGAUAAGAAGGAUGGCAAAGUGAACAUAAGUAUAUUUUAUAUACAUGUUAUUGAUGUGUACUUUACUAGUGUUUAUGGCAACCCCUCAGUAUUUGAUACUAGUUCAGUUGCUAAGAUUAGUAACUCGAAACGGGAGUUGCAGAAUAAACAGAGACUAGUUAAGGGUGAAGUGACGAUGUGUGUUGGAAGUGGUUCCAAGAUUGAUAUGAUCAUCAUCGCACACUCCCUAUACUUUCGGGAUUAGUGUUGAACCUGAAUAAGUGUUAUUUGGUGUUUGCGUUGAGCAUGAAUAUGAUUUGAUCAUGUUUAUUGUUAUACGGUUAUUCAUUUAAGUAAGAGAAUAAAUUGUUGUUCUGUUUACAUGAAUAAAACCUUAUAUGGUUACACACCCAAUGAAAAUAGUUCGUUGGAUCUCGAUCGUAGUGAUACACAUAAUCAUAAUAUUGAAACCAAAAGAUGCAAAGUUAAUAAUGAUAGUGCAACUUAUUUGUAGCACUGCCGUUUAGGUCAUAUUGGUGUAAAGCGCAUGAAGAAACUCCAUGCUGAUGGGAUUUUGGAAUCACUUGAUUAUGAAUCACUUGAUGCUUGCGAACCAUGCCUUUUGGGCAAGAUGACUAAAACGCCGUUCUCCGGAACAAUGAAGCAAGCAACAGAUUUGUUGGAGAUCAUACAUACUGAUGUAUGUGGUUCGGUGAAUAUUAAAGCUUGCAGCAGGUAUCAUUAUUUUCUGACCUUCACAGAUGAUUUGAGCAGAUAUGGGGAUAUCUACUUGAUGAAACAUAAGUUUGAAACAUUUGAACAGUUCAAAGAAUUUCAGAGUGAAGUGGAAAAUCAUCGUGACAAGAAAAUAAAGUUUCUACGAUCUGAUCGCGGAGACAAAUAUUUGAGUUACGAGUUUGGUCUUCAAUUAAAACAAUGUGGAAUAGUUUCACAAACUCAUGCCACAUGGAACACCACAGCAUAAUGGUGUGUCCGAACGUCAUAACCGUACUUUAUUAGAUAUAUAGUGCAAUCUAUGAUGUCUCAUACGGAUCUACCACUAUCGUUUUGGGGUUAUGCAUUAAAGACAGCUACAUUCACAUUAAAUAGGGCACCAUCUAAAUCCGUUGAGGCGACACCAUAUGAACUAUGGUUUGGCAAGAAACCUAAGCUGUCGUUUCUUAAAGUUUGGGGUUGCAAUGCUUAUAUGAAAAUAUUUCAUCCUGAUAAGCUCAAACUCAAAUCGGAGAAGUGCGUCUUCAUAGGAUAUCCAGAGGAAACUAUUGGAUACACCAUCUACCACAGAUCCGAAGGCAAGACCUUUUUUGCUAAAUUCGGAAACUUUCUGGAGAAGGGGUUUCUCUUGAAAGAAGUGAGUGGGAGGAAAGUAGAACUUGACGAGGUAACUGUACCUGCUCCCUUAUUGGAAAGUAGUACAUCACAGAAAACUGUUUUUGUGACACCUACACCAGUUAGUGAGGAAGCUAAUGAUGAUGAUCAUGAAACUUCAGAACAAGAUACUACUGAACCUCGUAGAUCAACCAGAGUAAGAUCCGCGCCAGAGUGGUACGGUAAUCCUGUUCUGAAAGUCAUGCUACUAGAUCAUGAUGAAACCUACGAACUAUGAAGAAGCGAUGAUGAGCCCAGAUUCCGCAAAGUGGCUUGAAGCCAUGAAAUCUGAGAUGGGAUCCAUGUAUGAGAACAAAGUAUGGACUUUGGUUGACUUGCCCGAUGAUCGGCAAGCAAUUGAGAAUAAAUGGAUCUUUAAGAAGAAGACUGACGCUGAUGGUAAUGUUACUGUCUACAAAGCUCGACUUGUCGCAAAAGGUUUUCGGCAAGUUCAAGGGAUUGACUACGAUGAGACCUUCUCACCCGUAGCGAUGCUUAAGUCCGUCCGAAUCAUGUUAGCAAUUGCCGCAUUUUAUGAUUAUGAAAUUUGGCAGAUGGAUGUCAAAACUGCAUUCCUGAAUGGAUUUCUGGAAGAAGAGUUGUAUAUGAUGCAACCGGAAGGUUUUGUCGAUCCAAAGGGAGCUAACAAAGUGUGCAAGCUCCAGCGAUCCAUUUAUGGACUGGUGCAAGCCUCUCAGAGUUGGAAUAAACAUUUUGAUAGUGUGAUCAAAGCAUUUGGUUUUAUACAGACUUUCGAAGAAGCCUGUAUUUACCAGAAAGUGAGUGGGAGCUCUACAACAUUUCUGAUAAGUAUAUGUGAAUGACAUAUUGUUGAUCGGAAAUAAUGUAGAAUUAUUCUGUAAAGCAUAAAAGGAGUGUUUGAAAGGAGUUUUUCAAAGAAAGACUUCGGUGAAGCUGCUUACAUAUUGAGUUUCAAGAUCUAUAGAGAUAGAUCAAGACGCUUGAUAAGUUUUUUCAAUGAGUACAUACCUUGACAAGAUUUUGAAGUAGUUCAAAAUGGAACAGUCAAAGAAAGAGUUCUUGCCUGUGUUACAAGGUGUGAAGUUGAGUAAGACUCAAAGCCCGACCACGGCAAAAAAAAUAGAAAGAGAAUGAAAGUCAUUUCCUAUGCCUCAGUCAUAGGUUCUAUAAAGUAUGCCAUGCUGUGUACCAGAUCUAUUGUAUACCCUGCACUGAGUUUGGCAAGGGAGUACAAUAGUGAUCUAGGAGUAGAUCACUGGACAGCGGUCAAAAUUGUCCUUAGUGGAAUAAGGAUAUGUUUCUCUAUUAUGGAAGUGAAAAAAGGUUCGUCGUAAAGGGUUACACCGAUGCAAGUUUGACACUAAUCUAGAUGACUCUAAGUCUCGAUCUAGAUACAUAUUGAAAGUGGGAGCAAUUAGCUAGAGUAGCUCCAUGCAGAGCAUUGUUGACAUAGAAAUUUGCAAAAUACAUGAGGAUCUGAAUGUGGCAGACCCGUUGACUAAGAUUCUCUCACAAGCAAAACAUGAUCACACCUUAGUACUCCUUGGGUGUUAAUCACAUAGCGAUGUGAACUAGAUUACUGAAUCUAGUAAACCCUUUGGGUGUUGGUCACAUAGCGAUGUGAACUAUGGGUGUUAAUCACAUGCUGAUGUGAACUAUUGCUGUUAAAUCACAUGGCGAUGUGAACUAGAUUAUUGACUCUAGUGCAAGUGGGAGACUGAAGGAAAUAUGCCCUAGAGGCAAUAAUAAAGUUAUUAUUUAUUUCCUUAUAUCAUGAUAAAUGUUUAUUAUUCAUGCUAGAAUUGUAUUAACCGGAAACAUAAUACAUGUGUGAAUACAUAGACAAACAGAGUGUCACUAGUAUGCCUCUACUUGACUAGCUCGUUAAUCAAAGAUGGUUAUGUUUCCUAACCAUAGACAAAAGAGUUGUUAUUUGAGUAACGAGGUCACAUCAUUAGUUGAAUGAUCUGAUUGACAUGACCCAUUCCAUUAGCUUAGCACCUGAUCGUUUAGUAUGUUGCUAUUGCUUUCUUCAUGACUUAUACAUGUUCCUAUAACUAUGAGAUUAUGCAACUCCCGUUUGCCGGAGGAACACCUUGGGUGCUACCAAACGUCACAACGUAACUGGGUGAUUAUAAAGGAGCAUUACAGGUGUCUCCAAAAGUCGAUGUUGGGUUGGCGUAUUUCGAGAUUAGGAUUUGUCACUCCGAUUGUCGGAGAGGUAUCUCUGGGCCCUCUCGGUAAUGCACAUCACAUAAGCCUUGCAAGCACUGCAACUAAUAUGUUAGUUGUGAGAUGAUGUAUUACGGAACGAGUAAAGAGACUUGCCAGUAACGAGAUUGAACUAGGUAUUGGAUACCGACGAUCGAAUCUCGGGCAAGUAACAUACCGAUGACAAAGGGAACAACGUAUGUUGUUAUGCGGUCUGACCGAUAAAGAUCUUCGUAGAAUAUGUAGGAGCCAAUAUGGGCAUCCAGGUCCCGCUAUUGGUUAUUGACCGGAGACGUGUCUCGGUCAUGUCUACAUUGUUCUCGAACCCGUAGGGUCCGCACGCUUAAGGUUACGAUGACAGUUAUAUUAUGAGUUUACAUGUUUUGAUGUACCGAAGGAGUUCGGAGUCCCGGAUGAGAUUGGGGACAUGACGAGGAGUCUCGAAAUGG
This 57175-nucleotide long non-coding RNA is filed under the name Triticum aestivum (bread wheat). Its description in RNAcentral is "long non-coding RNA (TAES_LNC025099)". The record is from RNAcentral. Lineage: Eukaryota; Viridiplantae; Streptophyta; Magnoliopsida; Poales; Poaceae.